UGAAGCAUCUCCCUUCUCAACCUUAUUAUCCUGGGGGCGCGCCCUCAUGCGCUUCCUCAAGUGAUGAGUACUUCCGAGAGGGCGCGCCCUAGGGAGGGACGUGACCUCUUCAAGACUAGUGAGCUCCUUCCUGAGUAUGUUUGUCUUCACAAAAUAUCAUAUGAAGCAAUUAAUGCAUCAGACAUACCAGAGGGCGCGCCCUGUCAGAGGGAGGCGCGCAAUUCGUUCUCUGAUAGAAUACUGGUUGGAUAUGGCGUACCCCUUUAGGAGGGCGCGCCUUGUUGGAGGAAAGUGCGACUACUCCUCACGGAGAAGAGGUGUACUCCUCUUAAAGGUAACACCAUAUUACCUGUGAAUUUACACAUGUAGUAGUCUUAGGGAACCAAAUACUGGGGGAGUUUAGUAUUUACCUGAGGGCGCGCCCGGUCAGGGGAAGGCGCGCAUCCUUACGACUUUUCGAGCUAGGUUCCAUCUCAAUAGCUCGCCCUUCGUAACUUUCCCGUUCAUAUCAUCACAUGUGGUCAGGCCUUCAACAUGCGCCUCUCGCGAACCUCAAAUUACUUGCUCUGGGGAGGGCGCGCCCCUUCAGAAAACCGUUGAGGCUUCCAGGGAGGCGAUCUCCUUCUCGUAAAGACUCAAACCACAACAGACUUGUUAGCAAUAACAUGCGAAAGCAUUGUGAGAAUCUUACCCGGAGGUGCGCCUUCUUCGGAGGUGUUAGGGAAUUCGUUCCUCACGGUGGUAGUCGAGCACCACAUCACUUGGAGGCGUACCCUGUCCGGGGGAGGUGUACCCUGUCCGGGGGAGGUGUACUCUGUCCGGGGGAGGUGUACUCUGUCCGGGGGAGGCGUACCCUCUUCGUAGGUGUCAGGUCUCCGAAAAUCACAUCCUUCGCUGACUCCCCGGUCCAGAAAACCCUGAUCGCAAAUUAGGUUACCUCCUAGAAUUUCGUUGAUGAUCGUCCUCCUUCAAACUCCCGAUGGAGAUAUCGUCCUUUUUCUGAAAAAGUAGAUGAAGGUCUCCUCCUCUUUUGUGCUCUAGCCAUCGCCCUGCCGGAAAACGCUCCUCCUCUACGUGCGAAUCUCCGUCGUGUGACAUCUCUUCCUCCUAAGAUGAAGAUCUUGAAUAGCCCCUCCUUCUAGCGCCAAUUUGUUGAUAGAGGAAUUUGGUAAUCAACAAAGAUGAGGUUCAUGGCCGGAAUCAAGAUCCGUGACGGUGGUUUUGGUCGCCGGAGAGUGGUGGUUGUUUGUUUUAGGGGGUGGCUGAGAUUAGGGUUUUGAGUUGGUCUCACGUGCUCUCAACUCAUGAUCCCCCAAUGUGCCUACGUACCCCUAUAUUUAUAGGGGAUCAAGCCAUACGUAGUUCUAUUGAACCAGGAGUCCUAGUUUGAUCAGGACUAGGCCUCUUGGCGAUAAGGUCGGAGAUAGGCCGAAGGCCCAUCUUGGAGAAUCCUACUCCUGUUAGAAUUAGUCUUGAGUAUGACUACCUCAGACUCCUAAUCCAAAUAGAUCACGGAUUCAACGAUAUCUCCACUACGAGAGAUAGCAUCUACCACGACUCUUAUGGAGAAGUUAUCUGGGGGAGCCAUGACUAACCCCUCGAGGUGCAGGGACACGUCCUCACCUCUCGGUGAGGUCUUCAUCUUCAAACAAGGUAGACAAGGAGCCAAAUUACACGAUCGUCUCAAUCCCCCGAUGAGGGCUAACUCACCAGAAUACAGGAUCCAGACAUAUGAUCGGCCUUCGUGUUACCCCGGAGGGCCUUCAAGAGCCAUGAUCACCUCAAGCCCCCACACGAGGGUUAACUCGGCAGAUAGCAGGAUUGAGGAUUGUAGAUCAUGCCCGGAUGAGCCCGGGAACUAUCAGAUGAGCCUGAUAACUACCAAAUGAGCUUGGUAACUAGUCUUCAUAUCCCUCGGAAGGGUCGUCACGGAGACUCACUCAUCCUCUUUCUUUCAUCAUGUAUUUCAUAACUAUGCCUCUUCUGAGUCAAAGGACGCGCCCUGAUAGGGAGGACGUGUCCUUCCCAAUUCCCGUCUUCAUCCCUGUUUACUGGACAAGAGACCGCACCUCCCGGGCCAUGUCUGGGGAGGGCGCGUCCUUCCCUUAUCUUGUCUUCAAUCCUCCUUACUGGACAAGAGACCGCACCUCCCGGGCCAUGUCUGGGGAGGGCGCGUCCUCCCCUCCACAUGAUAUACAAAAACGGCUACAACACCUCGGAAGAGUCGUCGUAUCCCCCGGAGGGGUCGUCAUAUCCCCCCCGGAGGGGUAGGUCUUCCUAUCCCCGGAGGGACGGUCUUCGUCUCCCUCGGAAGGGUUGUCUCAGCGAAUGUACACUCUCCCAUAAGAAGAGCCUUCUUACAACACAUCAGACAGGUCCUUCUUUAACAUGAGGUCGCGCCCCCGGGGAGGCGAGGACACCCCGUUAAAGGCACGCCCUUGGUCUUCAUCUCAUUGUCAACUUCUUACAAGGGACGCGCCCCUCGGUCACCUCCGAAGAGGGCGUGCCCUCCUCCACAUAUUACAGGACGUGGGUGGACGGAGGUCGGUCGCGUCUCUCCAUCAACACUCUCAAGUAAGGCGUCCCUCCUUGUGACUCGGAGGACGCGUCCUUUUCAAGCAACACCAAGGGUCGGUCGCAUCCUCCCUUUAUAAGCAGGAGGACGCCUCCUCUUCACGCAACACCAAGGGUCGAUCGCAUCCUCCCCUUAUAAGCAGGAGGACGCGUCCUCUUCAUGGGACACGUGUGACCUGGAGGACACAUCCCUCCUUCCGACGCGGAGGACGCGUCCUCUUCAUUAAGAUACGCAACAUCGGCGGAUCAGUCGCGUCACGGAGGGUUGCGCCCUUCCGUUCAGACUAGUCUCUUCAAGGGUCGGUCGCGUCCUCCCUUUAUAAGCAGCAGGACGCGUCCUUCCUUUAUAUAGGACUCUUAGCCCAAUUCAUUUCUUACUUAGUUAAACUAAGUACAUACUUGGCCCAACAAGGACCUAGCCAUAUUUGGCUAUAAGAGGAUUCAAUAUUUUAUAAUAUUUAUAAGGAAGACACUAAGACACUGCUGGAGAUGCUCUUAUAUGUGUGUUCUUUUGUGCUCAAGUUAUCUAUGUUGUGCUUCGAGUUCAGUUGAUAGAAUCAUUGAAUUUCCCCCCUGUCUGUAUUUUGUUCUUUUGUUACUCAAUAUAGUGAUUGUCGGAUUUGUUUUUUCUUGUGUAUUUUUGUGAUUUGAUCCUUGAAUAUUUUUAUGAAUCUUCAUGGCCAAGUGUACUUUGUUGUGCUACGCCUAUUAGAUCACAUGGAAAAUCAUGGAUUUACACAUAUAUAUUUCAUUAAUAGGUCAAAAGAUAGCUGUACUAAUUCCUAAUUUAUAUCACAACAGUAUAUAUAUAAUCUGCUGAGCAUCUUGUAGUAUACUUGACGGCAGAAUAUUUUCUGCUUCUAUUGUUUUUGUUUGCUGCUAGAUGCCUAACAAUCACAACCUCUGCUUGUAAGUAUUUUAAUAUUUUGGUGCUUGAGAGGGAUUCUAUAGACCUCGCGAAUCCUCUAAAUGUAAUAUUUUCCUUGUUUCUAUGAAAAAUGUUAAAUUGACUGUUUGGAUUUUUAUGGGGAAUUUGGAAAUUUGAAAGCAUAUAUUUUACUUAUAUUGAUUUGUCACUAAUACUCACUAUUUAUUUGUGAAUUAUUGUGAAUAGCCUUCAGCAGUUUUGUUAAAAUUAUAUAUUCACCAGUUUGCCAAUACUAAUAUUACUAAAACAGAUGGUGAAUGAGUAAAUUUCGAUCAUUCAUUUUUUAGACAUAAUAAUUUAACUAGUGUAUUUGUACAAGGAGUAAACUAUAUAUAAAUGUAAAGAGUGUUUCUAAAUGAAGCGCUGAAAAGAUUUUCUGUACUCUGGUAACAUAAAAUUUAAAGAAGGGAGGUCGCGUUUUUAUCUAGCACUUGGGAAAGGGGCUUCUUAGUAAAUUAUUGUAUGAUAACCACUUUUUAUUUCUUCUCAAGAAAACCUUACUGUCAAAUUAACACAAACAAGUUAGUUCAUGAUCGAGACAGCUCAUCUAAUUAGUGGAAGAAGGUUUAGGCUCGAGAAUUUUUGAAUGUAUAAUUUGUAGAUACACCAGAAUCUAAAAGAAGUGAUUGUAUAAUCCGAUUAAUUUAGGAAAUAUGAAACCAAAAAUAUUAGAACUUUCAUUCAGGAGAAUGAGGAGCAGAUGGUAGAAAAUAGCAAAAGUUGUAACUACUCUUCAUGUAUAGGUAAAAUCAGUUAGUAACUUAACUGGCUAGUUGCAUACUCGAGAAUAUAGCCUGUAGGAGUUCUUUAAACACUGUUAUCAGCACUAAUUUUGGAACUGAUACUGAUUCUUAGUUCUCUUCUUCCUUUGUUUCCUUUAUCCCAUUCUUCUAAAUGGUUACUAAUCCGAUGCGAAAUUUGGUAUUCCAGCUAUUGUAAAUUUGUGCACAGCACAUAGAUGUUUGUGGUGAUGGAAGAUGUCUUAAAUACCCAUUAUUUUUGUUGCUCAUUCUGCAUUUUCACAACUUUUAAACUCCUUGUACAUUAUAGUGAAGGUACUGGACUGGGGGGAGGAUGGUCUUGCCACAGCUGCUGAAACUGCUGCUCUUCGGUCAUCAUUUCAGCAGGAGGUUGCCGUCUGGCAUAAACUUGAUCAUCCGAAUGUCACAAAGGUAAAUGUCUUCCAAUUUUCAUUAAUAUUUUAAGUAUGAGGUCAUCACAAUAUAUGUAUAUCUUGGAUUUUAGUUGUUUGUUUAAUUGUGUGGCACAGUAUGUCACUCUACAUGUAUUAAGCUGUUAAUUUUAUCAUGUAGUUAUAUUACAGCUUGAACUAUACAUAAGGGCUUAGACAUUAUUUGUUGUGUUAAUGUUGGAAUUUGGAACUGAUGUGUCUGCAAUCUGCAUGUUGCUUCAGAUCAUUAAUCACUUUAAAAAAUAAUUCUUGGUGGGUUAUUAUUAGUCCUUUCUUCUUCCUCAUCUAGAUAAAUUCUCCCUCCUUUUUUCUGUAUGUUGCUUUGACUUCUGCACACAUUUUCAAGUGCUUCGACCUCAUAGUUAAGUUAAACAAAUUAUUUUUAAAAUUUUCUUUUGUUAAGAAAGAUAUACUAUAAAGUAACAAUUAUUCUUAUAAUUAACAAAAAAAAGUAACUAAAAAUCAUAUUUUUAACGAUGUGGUCAAAGCAUUAAAAUAUGUGUGCAAAAAGUCAAAGCGACAUAAAAUUAAAACGGAGGGAGUAGCAGAUUUGCAAGUUGCUACUUGUAUGAUUAUAAACAUCAAAUCUUUACUCUUGAUUUAAUAAUAAUGGUUCAUUGUUUUUUGUAGUUCAUUGGUGCUUCAAUGGGAACAUCAAAUCUUAAGAUUCCUUCCAAGAACACUUCAAGUGAUGUACAUAACUCCCCUCCUUCUAGAGCUUGCUGUGUUGUGGUUGAGUACUUAACAGGAGGAACACUGAAGAAAUACUUAAUCAGGAACGCAAGAAAGAAACUUGCAUUCAAGAUUGUUGUUCAACUCGCUUUGGACCUCUCAAGAGGGUAGGUAAACAAAAAUUGUUGGAGUUGAGAUGGUAUGUGAGUAGUAUUUAUAUGUGUGUUUUCUGUUGGUAUCUUGCAGUUUAAAUUAUCUCCACUCCAAGAAGAUUGUGCAUCGUGAUGUUAAAACAGAAAAUAUGCUGCUAGAUAUCAAUAGAACCCUGAAGAUUGCUGAUUUUGGUGUUGCUCGGGUUGAAGCACAGAAUCCUAGAGAUAUGACUGGGGAAACCGGUACACUUGGUUACAUGGCCCCUGAGGUAAUUGCUUCUUGGUUUUUGUCUUAUAUAAUUUAAGUGUGAAAGCUAACUGUUUACCGUUACAUAUAUGUUUUAGGUCCUUGAUGGAAAGCCUUACAACAGAAAAUGUGAUGUCUACAGUUUUGGCAUAUGCUUAUGGGAAAUUUACUGCUGUGACAUGCCAUACCCAGAUCUUAGCUUUGCUGAAGUAUCUUCUGCAGUCGUUCGCCAGGUCUUUCUUUCUCUUAAGACAUGUAAUUGGUGUACAUGAAACUAUAUUUUUUUUUGUUUUGCCAAGUUGUAACUGAUUGAGAAAGUUUAAAGCUUUAUGAUCUAGUGGUCUCAACUCUCAAGUAUGGAUCAUGGGAUUCUUAAUAACUCUGAAACUAGUUAUGGUAAAUGACCAGAAAUGCCGGUACUCCACUUAGGGACAUGGCUAUCAUUUUCUGCUUCACUAUUCAAGUUCAAAGUCAGAUUUGAGAGAAUAUAUAAACAUAUAAUUAAUAUACACAUUGGACCUUUCUCUUAACUUUGUGAGAGGAAAUAUAAACAUAAUUUAUAAGAUAUUAGACCUUUCUCCCAACAAUGUAAGGUGUUCAAAAGGUUUUUGGAGAUGAUGUGCACUUUUACAUAUGGAGUGUUCUUAUGACACUCUUACUACGUGCACAUGUGAGUUUGUUUUCUGUUCUUGCUUGCAUCUACCGAGAAGCAUCCUUCAUAAACAACAUUCAAGACUUGCUAAUCUAGUCCUCUCCAAAUUGACAAGCUUAACUUUUAAUUUUUAUUUGUUUUGUCUUUUCCUCUUCAUGUAUGAAGAUUUAGGUUUAUGCUUACUGUAAUUCCUGUUAUGAAAGACAACAUGUUUCAACAUCUCGGUCGAAUAAACAGAAUAUCAGUUUGGUUUCUGUUAUUUAAAGCAUGAUUGUGCAACCACAUCCUCAUGUAUUCAUUUAUUUAUAUUUCUUUUGUUUUUUUAUAGAAUUUGCGACCAGACGUGCCAAGAUGUUGUCCUAGCCCAUUUGCAAGCAUCAUGCGGAAAUGUUGGGAUGCAAACCCAGAAAAACGUCCGGAAAUGGAUGAGGUUGUGAGGUUGUUAGAAACAAUAGAUACGAGCAAGGGAGGUGGCAUGAUACCUGAGGAUCAAGCCCGUGGUUGCUUCUGUUUCACAGCAGGUCGUGGCCCGUAAUGAUCCAAUCUUUACUCCUACAUUACGGCUUGUUGUGUCAAAGUAUCUUCUGUCUGAGUUCAUUGCUAGCCUGUAAUGGUACGUGAAAUGUUUUGUACUUUAGGAGAACAUUAGUGGAUAAAACACUUCAUUUUCUCUUAAAUCUAUAUAUCGGUAAAUAAGUUUUACCUUUGCCUAAUUGAUGACAUUUUAUAGUAAAAUUAAAAUCUCCUGUUAUUGAUAGAGUUUAUUAGAAUUUCCUGUUAUUGAUAGUGUGUUUUGUAUUUAACAGUAGACGAAAUCAUAAUGCCUUGCAGAGCAUUUGUAGGAAGCAACUCUUAUCGCAUGUUUUUCAAAAAGAGAUCUCAAAGUUUGUGAUAAUCAGUUAUUUUUAAUUUUUUGUUUCAUAUAGUGAAAUUGUGCAACUGUUUAUGAGGUCAGGGUCUCUGGUUUUUUUCCGGCAUACUUAUUAGUAAGAGCGGUAAAAGAUAUAUAGGGUCAUGUUGAUAUUAGAACCCUUAGUUUAAGAACUCUCAGAACUUAUACCUCUAAGGUAAGUUAACUGAGAUCUUAUGGAAGAAUUAGUCUUAUUUUGUAGUUUUGUAUUUUUCAACCGAACUCUGUAUCUUGUAUUGAAAUCAUGAGAUAUUUUAACAAUUGAAUUAAAAAAGUCUAUUCAAAAAUUUCGGGUCCUGCAACAACAUUUGCCUUUUUGUAGUAUUAAUUAGGGUUCUCAAGUAGCAUUCGCUUUAUGUGUAGUAUUAAUGUGUUAUUUACGUACGGUUCAGGUGUUAAAUAUAACAUUUUGUAGCAAAAUUCGAUUAUUCUUGUAGUAUUAAUGUGAUAUUUACGUAGAGUGAGUAAUUUUGCCUUAUUUCCGGUAUUAAUUAGGACUCUGCAGCUGAAUUGAACAUGCAAAGUGUCAGGAUUUAUAUAUUAUAUUUUGAAAUUUCUUUUAAGCACACACAACGAUGCAAAAAAACAUGUAUUUAGUUUUAGAUCACGAAAGUCUAUUUAAAAUUUAAAAUUUAGGCUUGUGCAGCAGAAUUUUAGUGGUUAAUAUAUUUUUAAAUUGGAUCUUGGUUAUACUUGGUGAGUAAUUAUCAUGAUGGCAAGUAUGUUUUAGCAGGAUCAAGUUUUAGUGUUUCUUUCUUGCCACCUCAACUCGUGCAGCGAGUAUGUUGUAACAGUUGUUGACAUGGAUUCGAGUUUUUUGUUUAUGUGAUUAUCGAUCUUUAAAUUUUGUCUAAAAAUCUGCUAUGAGUUGGAAUUUCGAAGUUUUAGUAUUUUUGUCUUGCCACCCUUUAAUUCGUGUAACAAGUACUCCCUCCGUCCUCUUUUACAUGUCCAUUUUGACUUUUGACCAGUCAAAUUGACAAUAUUUUGACUGAACUUUACAUGUAUUAGAUAAUUGAGAAUAGUAAUAAAAAUUAUACCAUUCGAAAGUGUAUUUAGUCUACUUUAAUAUGCAACUUUCAGAUUUUAAAAAUAAUAAGUAGAUAAUUUGUAAUGUUUAGUCAAAAAUUGGUCAAUUUGACUCCUCGAAAAGCAAAAUGAACAUGUAAAAGGGGACGGAGGGAUUACUAUAUUGUGGCAGUUGCUGACAUUAAUUCAAGCUCUUUAUUAUUUGACGGUCAAUCUAUAAAUUGUCUAAUAAUUUGCUACAAGUUGGAAGUCCAACUUCCUUCCGUCCCUUUGCUUAGAAAAAAAGAUGGGAAAAAAAAAAAAAAUUACUGGAUCAAAAAUAAUAAUAUGCUGUAUUUUUCCCUAGUUAUGGCUUAAAAAACACACAUUCACUGGAAGAUAAUGUUACAUGCCCCUUGUAGUUGUGAGGUCUUUGUCAUUUCUUACUUUCACUUUAGUUGGAUGCAAAUGCUUCAAGGAAUUGGUUCCAACAUUGUAGCUCAAUCCCACAUGUUACAUGUAUACUUGAGUGGGACAUCUGCUUUAGUUAUCGAAAGAAAAGAAUCGAUAACACAUGGUUAUCAAUGUUCUAAAAAUCUUGGAUUAAGUCUUAAAUAAAAAUUCAUCCAUUUGUUGAUUAUAUUCUGAUUUGAUUAAAAGACUUAGAUUUAUUUAAAAAAAAUAUGAUAAACUUGAAUUAACCGGUCAAUUGAUUAGUUCCGAUUCAAGCAUCGUUGAAAGAAAGCAUGAUGCCAAGUUAAGAAGAAGAGAAGGGGCAAAACAGGAGUUUAGUGGAGACAAGAUCCUAAUGCCUCUCAACAGUUGACAAAAUUAUGUUCCUCGGUGCUUGUGUAGUUGUGUUUGUAUUCCUUCUAUAUAUUCCAGGGGAAUCUGUUAUAGAUUUCUCAUUUCUCACCCGCUGUGCCCACUGAUAUAGUAUGCAGUGAAGCAUUCUUUUUCUUUUCUUUCUCAUAUCUGACUCCUAGUGACAUUUAUGUACAUUAUUUUUAUAAUAAUACUACUACUGGUUUAAGUUAUCACUUUAUCCUUUUUCAAAAACAACGUUAUAAAAAAAAACGUUAUUAUUAAAUCCUGAUUAUUUUUUUAUAAUAUUCUAUGCAUCAUCUGUAUGGCAAUGUCAGACUGUCAGGUACUUCGUAUUUUGCCUACUAUUGUAAUACUCUUUCCGUUUCAAUUUACAUGUCCACUUUUAAGAAAAUGUGUGAUUUUUUUAAAAUAGACAUCUAAUUUGAAACGGAGUGAGUAACUGAGUAACUGAUUAUGCGCGGUAACUUUUGAAAAGAAAUAGGGGCACUAAGAGCAUCUCCAAGGGUUGAGACAUAUUAGUUAAAAUAUCUAUGUGUCAUCCUAUGUGUCAUCUCAAUGGCACUUUUAGAUGAUAUGUAAAAAGAAAUACUUUCCAACCAUCAUCCUUUAGCAAAAAAAAAUAUAGAUAAUCAUGUUUGACUCAAUAAAUUUGUUGAACUUGUAAAGCUAUUAUGUAUAAUUUUAACUUAACAUAAUUAUACAUAACCCCAUUGGAGUGUUUUUCUCACCUGUUAGCAAAAAAGUUGUAUAAACAAUUUACAUAAUCAUUAUAGCUAACAAAUUUAGAAAUCGCCCUUGGAGAUGCUCUAAUAUUAACCCAUGUUCAAUGAUAAUUUAUUCUGAAAUUUUAAGUUCUAAUGACUUAUUCUGACGGUUUUCAAUAAUUUUAUAUUUUCGAAAAAUGCAGAUUAGUUAUUUAAUAGAUGUUUUAUAUUCUCAAUUUUGUACUAUUAUGUAAUAAAUAAAUAGUGUUUUAAUAUUCACACGCUAAAUUUAUUUUCCAUAACAAAUUUAGGGUUAAAUUAUUUUAAUAAUUAUUUAAAUUAAAUAUAUAAUAAUUUAAUAUAUAUAAAUAAUAUAAAAAUUGAAUACUUAAUUAACGACAAACAAAUUCACGUUUUCAGAUAUUCAGGAAUAAAUAUCAAAGCUUUAAAAUCGAGAAAGUGAAGAUACAAAUUUUAGAAUAAUAUAAAUAUAUGAAAAUCCUACAUUUUGUUAAAGUAAUCUAAAGAUAUUUCAUAAAUAAUAAAAAUACUACUCCCUCCAUUCCAAAAUAACAGUCGCUUUGACUUUGUGCACGUAGUUUAAGGUGUAAAAGAAAACAUGCUUCUAUACAUUAUUUUUGAAUUUUUCUUUUCCUGAAUAAAAGUUUAACAUCCCUAUUUUUAUCAAAAAAAGAAGAUUUGAAAAAUAAUAUUUAAGAAUAUAUUUUUUAUGCACCUCAAAAUACGUGCAAAAAAUCGAAGCGACUAUUAUUUUGGAACGGAGGGAGUAUUAAUUUGGACACAUUUAAUAAAUUGAAAUCCCUAAAAUAAAUAAAUAAAUAAAUUGAAAUCCCAGUCAUGUAUCAGCUAUGAGGGGUAUAAAUUGAAGCAGAGGGGUGUAGUUUGAGUUAGGUCAGCACCCAUUCCUAAAUUCACCAUACUCACUUCCUGCAAUUUAUUAGUCCCUUUUCUCUUCUAUUUUACUUGUUUCCAAUGGGCCUUGCCGACAACACUGAUACGUCGUCGUUUAUGACCGACUUCCUCAAAAACUCCGGCGGCGUCGCCGUCAUCGACGGCGGCCUUGCGACGGAGCUGGAGCGCCACGGAGCCGACCUGAAUGACCCUCUCUGGAGCGCCAAAUGUCUCCUCACUUCCCCUCACCUCGUUCGCUCGGUAAAUUAAUUACACAUACAUAUUUAAAUAUAUUUCAUAUACAAAUUGAUUUUAUUAUUAAUUUUGUUGAGCAUUCGAGCGAUUUGUAGUUAUAGUAUAUUAAUGUGCUGCAUUUUUUUAAUUUAGAGUAAACUAAUAGCAGUUAAUAAAAUACUAAUAAACUACUCCGUCCCAAGAAGAUACUUAUAAAUAUUACUUUUCAAAUUUUUUUAUUUUGUCAAAAAAUAUGAAAUAUUUUUAUACAAAACAAAAUUUAUUGAAAACUAUUAUUUAUAUAUUAUCUUCGGAAUAUAUUGAGAUUCAGAACAUAUUGAAAUGCCUGCAAAAAGAAUUUGUUCGUUCCUUUUGGUGUGGAGGGAGUUGUAUAAUGUAUAAUACUAGUUCACUUUAUAUUUUUUUUUAUUAUUUGGAUAAGGUGAUUAGUCUUGCAUGCAUGAUGCUAGUGGUGUCUGACGUGUUUUGAUUUCAGUUAAGAUGUUACUGUAGAUGCUUGUGUGUUUGAUUUGUUUUGGUUAUUGUCUUUAUGGUAAAAACAAGUGUAAGCUGUAAGGAUUUGAAGUAUGUACAAAUUUGGACCACCAUAUGGCUGUUUCUGACAAAUUUUAAAUCUGCCCUUUUCUAGUCAGAUUUGUAACUAGCUUUAAACUGUGUUUUAAAUUUCUUCAUUUGGGCAAACCCGUCUUACACCAUUAGAGAGGCCUUAUUGUAAUACAUAGCGGAGAAAGUUAAAGUCCCGGCUAGAAAAUGUUCGGAACUGCACUAUAUUUUUUAGCAGAAGGUAGACCCAUCCAAGUUAUGUUUUAUAGUAGAAGGUAUAAAAAAAUUGUGAUCUGGCCUGUUAAUAUUAUACUACCUACUAUCUGCACAUGAUGGCUACCUGUGGCUGGUGGCCUAUCUGUUUCUAUAAUAAUCAAACCUCAAACCCUCUGAAUUAUGAUGAACUACUGGUGUGUUUAGAGAUUUUCUUAUACAACAUGUGACAUAUAUACUGGACAGUAUGGACUAUGGAGGGACUUAUUUUUGUGUUAUGGGCACUUUUGCCUUAUUAAAUGUCUGUUGUAUCUUUUUGUCUUCUUUCCUGUUACCUAUAUUGUUCUAAUAAUGGUGCUUAAAGUUGUUAAGUAAAUCUUUUGGAUUGAGGAAGCUAUACUAGUCAGCCAUUUACCUUACAUGAUCGAGAUGGAUUAGUGCAGAGUCCCAGUCAGAAAGUAGCGUAGUUGGAAAACCAGAAAUAUGUAACCAGAUGUCAACAGCAUAACUAUCAACUAUGAGUAGUUUUAAAAUUAGGGCUAUUAGAAUGGUGCUAUUAAUUACUCCCUCCAUCCCAUUUUUCUUGUCAUCCUGUCAAAACCUAAUUGAAUAAUAAAUAAGCUAUAUGAUACCUUAAAUUUUUAUUAUCUUUUAGAAAAAUUAACAAAUGUAACAUGUAAAAUGCAAACCUAUGGAUUUUUAUACAUGAGCUCUUUAUAAUUUCAAUAGUUUUAAAAUGCAAAACUAUGGAUUUUUGAGAAUAUGCCCAUUAUAUAUGUUUUGGAUUUGUUUCCAUCGUUCUUGGAUUUGUAGCAUGUCUGUGCUCCACUGGCAACACAGUACUGAACAUAUUGUAUCCAUAUACUGGCCAAAGUUUUUGCUGUUACAUGAUUUGUGAUUCUUUUAAGGUUAAGUCAUUUGCUUGUUGAGCAGGUACAUCUUGAUUACCUUGAGGCUGGUGCUGAUAUCAUAAUUACAGCAUCUUAUCAGGUAAAUUAUCACUGCUUGUGUGGGAUAUGCUCUGUACCGUGUGUGUGGAACUCACAUUUAAGUUUACUUGCUUGUGGACAGGCAACACUCCAAGGUUUUCAGGCUAAAGGCUACUCUGAAUUAGAAAGUGAGGCCAUGCUUAAAAGAAGUGUGGAAGUUGCCUGUGAGGCAAGAGAAAUAUACUAUGAAAAAUGUCUUAAAUCUACUUCUAAAGAGACGGAGGAUGGGAAGAUUUUUAAACAUCGACCUAUUAUAGUUGCGGCAUCUGUAGGGAGCUACGGGGCUUAUUUAGCUGAUGGUUCUGAAUACAGGUAUCAAUUAACCUGAUAAGAUAAUCUAGGACCUCAGUUCCUUAACUUUUAAGAUGAACCAUAAUGUCAUAGUUUGUAUGUAGAAAUAAAUCAUACAUGAGAGGGAAUUUCUAUCUGCACCAUCUAUGUCAUUGUGAUCUAUCGAUCAAAUCCCAUGUUAUGUUAAUCUUGGCAUGUUCUUGUAAAGUGCUUGUAAUGUGGAUCAGAUAUUAUAAAAAAGGCUACAUAAGUCCAUCUGCGCUAUACACAAGGCAAACCACGUUGGUCAUUUCGCCAUCUAGCAGUCUUUCAGGGUGACCCUGAUGAUUUUUUACAAUGUAAAUCAACUACCGAGUGUAUAAUAAAUCAUAUAGCUUUUAAUACUGUCAUUUUCCUUUACUGGGGCAUGUAUAUUUCAGACCUUUUUAGUACUGUCACUCUCCUUCACCAGAGCAAGUGUAUUUCAGACUCUGUGUCUAGGUACUCACAGACUUUGUCAAUGGUUCUACGUAUUUACAGUGGGGACUAUGGUGAAGCUAUAGAUCUAGAGUAUCUGAAGAACUUCCAUUGCAGAAGGGUACAUAUUUUGGCAGAAGCUGGUGCGGAUCUGCUAGCAUUUGAAACAAUUCCAAAUAAGCUUGAAGCCCAGGUUUUCUUAAGCUAAUAACGGAUUAUAUUUGUGAUCCCUGUAGCUCUUUAAAAUGCCGAUAAUUUUAUUUUGUUGCAAUUGCUACACUUGUUUUGGACAAGUGUUUUUAGCAAUUCUGAAAUGUGGGCUAAGACACCAAGCAUUUUUGAUAAGUUCAAAAGAACUAAGUGCCCUAGGCCUGACACAAGAUAUUGAUAUUGAAUAGUUUACUGCUUGAUAGGCUUUUGCUCAGCUUCUCGAGGACAAAUGCAUAACUAUUCCUGCAUGGUUUGCCUUCAAUUCUAAAGAUGGUAUAAAUGUGGUCAGUGGUGAUUCCCUGACUGACUGUGCCACAGUCGCUGAUACAUGCAAAAAAGUUGUUGCGGUUGGGAUCAACUGCACACCUCCCAGAUUUAUCAGUGAUCUGAUUACAUCUAUCAAAAAGGUCGAACUUCUAAAAACUCUGAUCUUUUUUCUUCUUUUUAAUAUCUUUCUUCAUUAAACUUGCAACUCUUGUCUUACCACUUGUAGAGCUUUGGUGGUAAAGAGUUUUAGGUCUUAUAUGGGCUUGAAUCGUUAGUUGUGAGAUUGUAAGGGAGUAUGACAUGAUUCAUACUGGAAAGGGAGAUAUCAAUAGAAUUUUAGCCAAUUGCCCAAUUAUUGAGUUGUUUUUAUGUACCCCAAAUUAAUUUGGUUAGGUCAAGCAUGGUUUUAGGAGAAAGGAAUAAGCCGUCAAAUUACUGUGUAGAACCUUCCACUUCCGAAAGCUAAUAUUGUUUCAACCAAGGGCGGACCCAAGUUGUGCUAAGAGUACAUAAUUCUUAACCUUUUUUCCCCAUGCAAUAUUAAAUAGUUCCCUAUAUAUUGUAGUAUGCUGUGGGUCGAGUGAAGUGUUCAAAUGUAAUUUUGCAAAGCCAGUCAGUCAAGCAUUUGAUCCACCUUUUGUUUCUCCAUAGCUUAUCGAUCUUUGUCUUGUAUUUUUUUUAUUAGAUCUGCUUUCUUUUGUUAAUUUGCCUACAUCCCUUUAUUGCUAUUUAUUAGGCUCAUAUAAUCAGAUUUACUUCUUUUUUUACCAUUCCACAUGUGUUUGUAUAUUUCCAUUAUAUCAUUUCUUAUACCUGAACUAUUAUCAAUACGACUAGAUAGUACAUAAAAUUAUUAUAUUUUCAUAUUACAUAGGCUACAUAUUCUAGAAAUUUAUAUUAGUAGUAUUUUGCGGUAAACCUUCUAAUUUAAAAAUAUAAUAAAAUUAUAGCUGUUCAUUAAAUUUUAAAUUUUAACUUGUUAAAAGAACAAUCUGUUAGUUAUUUAGGAAGAUUGAGAGAGGUAAAUAUUAUGAGAAUCAUUUUUAAAAGCUAGAUAUAUCAUAUAUGUUUCAUUUCGUGUAACUUGAAGCACUUGCUAUUAUUGUACUUCUUGCAGUUUAUUCCUUCUUGGUAUUGUUUAUGCAUAUGGGGAUCUCAAGUCAACCACUAAACUUAAGCAGAGGAUAGAUAUCUUGCGAGUUCCUUAUUUUGCACUUGUUUCUUUUACUUUUGAUUGUUAAUUAACUGAAGGCUAUGUUUACUUGGAAGGACUAUAAUCCCUUCACUAUUUAUAACAUGUACUCAUAUUUUUAAUUUAACCCCUUACAUGGUCCUACGAACAAGUUUUGAUCACUUUGUAGUUCAUUUGGGGGCUUAUUUGAUAUCGGAGGAAUGAAGAUAAUAGUUUCGUCCAUUUAAUACGUUAGGAUUGUAAUAUAUAUAUAAAUGAGAGUUAAUAAAGGAGAAGUCCCGGGGAUCAUAAUCCCAUUAAAUAAACGUGCUCAAAGUUUCUUAAUAGUUGCUAUAGGGUAUAUUUCUCAUCUCAACUCUAUCUUUAUUGUAGGUGACAACAAAGCCGAUACUUAUAUAUCCAAACAGUGNAAAGUGGGUGGUCAGUUUUUCCCUACAGCUGAAGUAUGGUACUGAAUAAUAUUUGUGAAUUGCCAUGUUUUCUUUCUUUCUUUCUUUUCUCUAAUAAAAAAAUUGCAUAAGAUUUUUUCAACAAUAAAAGGCCCAAAAUAAUUAAAAAUUUAAAGUAUUUAACAAAAGAAGACAUCGCCAAAUUUGAGGUGCGCGGUAUAGCUAUUAUAUAUGAAAAUGGUUUAAUAUAAUAUGCGCCUAUUCUAAGCAGUUAUAAGGGAUGAACCAUUACAUCAUUGGUGUUUCUUUUUUUUGUUAUGCACUUAGUUUUCUGGAAAUUUGUGCCAUUUUUCUUCAUUAUUCGUCUACUAGUUAUAAUAAAAAAUUGUGCUGGCAAGUGUCUGAAUACAUCAAUCUUAUUAACGAUAAUGGAAUCUGGCAUUGUGCAGUGUUUCACUAUGUAACAGAACACUUUGCAAGUUUGAAUCAAAUAUGUUCUAAGGUAGUAUAUGCUGAGUGUUGACGGUGUCCUUUAUUGGCUAAAACUUGUCGCUGCUUAUCUUUUUGUAUCAUCUAUAUGCUCUACAUAUAUAAUCGUACUUGCAUCAUGACUUCACUUGCAGGGUUUAUAGCCUAAAUUUAUUAGAGUACAUGAUUCAGUUAUCUUUUAGCGGUGUUACAUGCAUCGUUAUUCUUUCACCGCCCCCUUUGUUGUAAAUAUAAAGUUUACGCAGUUUUAAGUUACCUCGGUGAACCAAUUGCAUCAGGGAUAAUUAUGUUUCCCUUGACAUACUGAAGCUGUUGACAUGUCAUUUUAGCCGUAAUUACUUUUUUAAGCAGCCUCUUAUUAUCACUUCUGCAUUUUGAUACACCUUAAUUUACGUCGGUUGUUAUGUUUCAACUCUUUGAUUGCAGCAAAAUACAGGAGUGCCAGAUGACGACUUUGUUUCAUACGUGAACAAAUGGUGUGAAAUAGGAGCUUCUCUUGUAGGAGGUUGCUGCAGAACUACACCCUACACUAUCAGAGGCAUUUAUAGGACUCUAGCUUCGAGAUCGGUCUCGUGAACGUGAUCAAGCAGGGAAAACAACCAAAAGUUGAUUAAGAGGUCUAGUUUCAGCUUAUAGUCUUAUACUGUUCAGAUCCCCUUUAUGGGAUUUAAAUUCUAUAUUUGGUUGCCAAGAAAUAUUUUUUUUUUCUCACCAAUUAAAUUGGGAGGAUAGAAGGUUGAUCCAAUAUUUGGAUGCAGAAUAUGAUAUGUUGAAUUGUUGAGGGUCUGAUAGUAUGUACUAUGUACUAUGAGAAAUUCAAAUUUUAGUAAUAUGAUCUUUUUUAUGUUUGUUCGAGUCGAUUAUUUUUGUAGAUGUCGUAUGAUUUUUUAUUAUUGAAUUAAUUCCUAUUUAAAACAUGAAAUCAUUACAUUGGUUGCAAAUAUAAAUAUUAAUACAUAUAGCUGACGUUCAAAUCACAAAUACAGUUUAUACAAGCGUCCUAACUAUGGUACCAAUGUGUUUCAUUUUGCAUUCUGGCCUUAAUAUUUUGGAAUAAAAGGCUCUGUAUCAACCUUGACACUUGUACUUGCAGAAGAGCUCAUAGAAGCUGAAGUAAGCUCCCAAAGCCCAUUCAGAUAAUUCACCGGAUAAUCAAUCUCUUCAUAGUGCUGUUCAUCACUAGCAAAUCUGUUUGACAAGUUAAUGUUCUCCAGCUCUGCUGCAACUUGUUUCAUCGUAGGCCUUUUUCUGCCGCUCAAGUUCAAGCAUCUAUACGCGAUGUUAGCAAAUGUUGUGAUCUCUUCUCUCGGACCCUCUUUGGCAACUUGGGGAUCAAUAAUGUCAAAUAUUCGGUUCUCUUUCAUUGUCUCUAUGAAAUGUGUUGCCAGACUUCGUCCCUCGUCUUGAGCUCUAGGCGCCAUACUUGGCUUUUGUCCUGUCAAGAGCUCAACAAGAACUACCCCGAAGCUAUAAACAUCACUUUUAUCCGUAUAUUGACUAGACUGGAAGUACUCUGGAUCCAAGUAACCAAAUGUACCUUGCACUCGUGUUGUCAGGUGAGUUUGAUCAAUAGCUAUCGACUUGGAAGUUCCAAAGUCUGCCAUUUUUGCUCUAUACUUUACAUCUAAAAGUAUAUUUGAAGACUUGAUAUCGCGAUGAUAUAUUGGAAUCGAUGCAGCUGAGUGUAGAUAGAAGAGAGCUCCUGCAAUUUCUAUAGCGACACGGACACGGAGAUCCCAUGUAAGUGGAAAGUCUUCACUGUAGUCAUGAAUGUACUCGAAAAGUGUUCCAUUCGGUAUGAACUCGUAAACCAGUAAAGGGACAUCAGUCUCCAAGCAGCAUCCAUGUAACUUUACUAUAUUUCGGUGGUUUAUUUUCGACAAAAGUACAACCUCGUUUAUAAAUUGUUCCUGCUUGCUUUCAUCUUCUAUCUUGGACUUCUUCACGGCUACUAUUCUUCCAUCUGUCAACAUUCCUUUAUAGACGGUUCCUUGUCCUCCUUGCCCGAGGAUUCGAUCCGUGAUAUAGUGGUCAGUUGCUGUCUCCAGCUCAUUCGAAGUGAACAGCUUUGUUGUGUCGACAUUACCUUCACUAGAGGACACUUGCUGAUGUAAUAGCAGACCACCGUUUCUCUCAAAAUUUUCAGCCUUGAGUUUUCGUGUUUUUCUUCGUUUCACUACUUUGCACAACCACCAUGUAGCUGCCGAUAUCAAUAGCACUCCUAGACCACCACAAGUAGCUGCAGUAGAGAUCAAUAUGAAAGAGAUCAGGAACGUAAAUGGAGUCAGAAACCGUUCUGUGACAUCUUAAGCACAUACCUAUUGCUAAGAUUAUGGGAGCUUUCUUCACGUUGGAUACAUCGAUGCACUUAUGUGCAAUAGCUUCAUACCCAUGAUUGCAUAAGCAAUUGUAGCUUCCUGGCGUAUUUUGACAGAUCUGCUCACAUCCGUUGGGUACUGCACACUCGUCGAUAUCUAUCAUGAAAAGAUUUGUCAGAUAUAUGUGAGUUGGACUGAGUGAAUGAGAUCAUGUAUCUACUUGCAGGAAAGCUCAUGGUCUGUUUGGAAACUUGGAUUUCAUUUGAAAUUCUGGAUUUGAUAAAAUUACAUGUUUGGAUACAAAAAAAAAAAAAAAAAUUGGAUUUGAAUUUCAUUUGUAAUCCAGGACAUUCAAAUGCUAGUAUAAAGCUGAGAAUUUGAAAUGACGUCUCAAAUCAUGUCAUUUGAAAUUCAAAAUUUGAAAUGAAAUACACGUUCCUGAACAUAAUCCAAAUUUAUUUUUAUAAAUAUAUUACCUUGACAUCCAUUGGGCAAAUAAGGAUUCCCUUCAUAGCCAUCCUUGCAAGAACACAAGCUUAGACUCCUGCACUCAGUAUUAUUUCCACACAAAUAGCUGUCUCCGGAGUCAUUGGUGUUUCUGACUGCGCGACAGUACUCUCCAAGUCUCCAAUCUAGAACAGCAGGAACAUGACCCAUAGUUUUGACUAUGUUGUUGUCUCCUAAGUUCCUGAACCAAAUCUGAUUUGCAAUGAAUGCAUACCUGCAACCUUUAUCAUCAAUACUACUAGUAUCAUUUAUGCUCAUUAAAGAUGUGGUGAAAUUCCACAGUUCUGGAGGAAUUAUAGACUGACAGCAGUUUAUGCCGUAACAACUGUUUUCUGAUCCACUAGUAUUGCAGAAUGACAUGCAUGGACAUUCGACCCUAAUGUGGUCAUUAGAGCAAGAUUGCCGCAUCCCAUUGCAGUGAACCGAUUUCGAGUUGCUGAGAAUGAAAAUGGGCGAAAUAUAGAUGUUACUCUCUCAGUUCGACUUCCAUUGGUAUCACAGUCUUCGAAAACUGUAUAGUUGACGUCAAGCGUGCCUGUGGUUACUGAUAUGUUGAGAACCUCAAGAACGUCGUGAUAAAGAUAAGGUCUUGGGGGAUUGCCAUGGCAAUCUAUCUCGAACCUCGGGUCAGCUGAACAAUUGGUUCCAAUUCCGAAUGGCUACGAAAUUGUAACAUUGCCACAUUUUUCUUGACAUUCAGGCUUUGCAACAGAACUUUCUUGAGCAGAAGCAUCUUGUGUUAACAGGGAUAGUAUUUUUAGGUGUAGCAGUAAUCGUAUAGCCAUCUUUGCCAUCCUCCUAUUCAUUUUUGAUAAAUGUAUAGCACAUCUAAAUUUGUUUAGGCUUUUGCCACAUUUGUAUGUAGGGAAAUUUCUAUGUUCUAUGAAGAAGUCAACUGUUAUAAUAAAAGGGGCAUUUGGAUGGUAGGUGAGAAUCAUAAUCCCGAAUGGGAAUGAGGAGUAUAAGAUAACAAUCUUUAAACAGUACAGAAGGAAUGAUUCACCCACCAAGUGGAAAUGAGAUUCCCUUUGCAUAAGGUAAAAUUGUUAACUCAAACCCGUCCGUUAACAGGGCUUAGAGAACCAUGAACAAAACACAACUUUAGUCGUGCUUCACGCUAUGUUAAAAAAUAGUAAGAUAAAUUUUCUGGGCAAUUAUCUUACAACACGCAGGAGAAUGUACUUUUCUCAAAAUGUAUAUUGUUUUUAUAUGCUUGCUUGUGUUAAUUGUUUUAUAAGUAGUGUGAUAACUUCAUUUAGUCUGACUUUGAUUAUUUAACAUGUUCAGUCAGACUCCAACUUGAUCUUGACAGCGAGAACUGAACGAUACCAACUUGUUUGAGAACUACUUAAAAAACAAAAACUCAUAAUUUAUAUCAGAAAACUCAUGUCAACUUGAUUCUUACAAGUUCCAAAAGAUUUGUAAGCAAAUGACUCAUGUCUUUGUUAAAAUUAUCCGACUCACAAUUAUUAUGUUGAUCGACUACAUGCUUAACUGUUUGACGACAGAAUUAUCAGAGAUUUUAGUUUCUUAUUAUGUAAAGUAAAAUUGUAAGAUUCGUUUCUCAGCAGUUAAUUACAUAACCUGAAGAGUGAUGGCUGAAGCCUUUGUUUUGCCCGGACAGUCAUUUAUAAACAGAAUGUGUACAGAAACCAACUUCAUGAAUCAUGAGAUGCCAUUUUGUUAGUCUGCAAGAUCAUACCUGAAGAUGCAGUUUGAAAUGAACAAAAGGGCUAAACAACAGUAGCAAGUCCAAUGCUAGAUGCUAUAUAUAUAUUGCUAUUGCUAUAAUAUAGCACCAAAAAGUGUUUUUUGGUGCUAAAAUAAAACUUGCACUCCAAGGCUAAGUUUUAUAACUAGUUUCAAAUUUAACCAACUCAUUAACUUUUACCUAACUUCUAUAUAGAACCAACUCAUUAACUUUUACCCAACUCAUUAACUCAUUAACUAGUUUCCAAUUUCUAGUUAUUGAUGAUGUGGCAACAUGGAUGGAUCCAUCUUUGGUUUCAAAUAUAGAACUAAGGAUGCAUCUAUGCAUGGAUGCAUCCAAAUAUAGCACCCCUUUGGAGUUGAGUUUUUUUACUUUUGAUACUAUAAUAUAGCAAUAGAACCAAGUAUAGCAUUGCAUUGGAGUUGCUCUAAGGCUCUGAGCUUCACUUUGGUUUCAAAUAUAGAACUAAGGAUGCAUCUAUGCAUGGAUGCAUCCAAAUAUAGCACCCCUUUGGAGUUGAGUUUUUUUACUUUUGAUACUAUAAUAUAGCAAUAGAACCAAGUAUAGCAUUGCAUUGGAGUUGCUCUAAGGCUCUGAGCUUCAUUUUUUGACAAAUAUGGCUUAUAGCCUUACAAAUGAGUAUCUGUUCUAAGAUAUUCUCGAGAUGAGCCAGGGUCGAACCCAAGACCUGGGACGACAGAGGAUAAGCCCUUAACCACUAGGCUAUCCAACCGUGCUCAGGCUCUGAGCUUCAUGAAGAAGAUGAGAUUGAAAAUUUUCUCUACGAGUUGAAGAGAGAGCCAAGGAUAUUAUUGUUAUUAUUAUUCUAUUAGAAAUGAAAUAUUAAUAAUUGUAUUGCUCCCAAUUUUAUCCGUCGGUCAAUAUUAUUCAACCGGUAUGCUUAAUAUAUAACAAUUUCCUUGAUAUAUAAUGUGUUUUGUUAAAAUUUUUUAUUAUCAAUUAAGUCAAGAUAUUUAAAAAUUCCGUCAGUAUAAUCAGUUUCUAUUUCUGUUAAAAUUACAAUAUAAAUGAUAAAAUUACAAACGUUAUAAAUAACUCGUGCAUAGCACAUGUUAGAGCAUCUCCAAUGGACCUGUAAGAUAUUAUGUAAAAUUUAUUGAACCUGUAAGACAUUUUGCUUCGAUGGUAUUAACUAUAUUGGUUGGUGAUAAUUUAAAAAUAGUAUGUUAUUAAUAUUUUGGAUUGUUAUAAAUAGAAUAUAUCAUUUUAAUACGGUAAUAAGUGAUGUGUAAUUUUCCAACAGAUUUUCUUACAGACCUGUAGCGGAUCGACAAAUAUAAUCAUCCGUAGGAGGUUGGCUAUAAUUAUAGAUAACAGGUGGGAAUAGUUGAAGCGUAAAUUUUUGAAGCCAUUGGUUAUAAUUAUUAUUUUUGGUAUGACAACUAGGAUUUUAGCUAAGGGGUCUUCAUGGUUGGAGAUGCUCUAAGCUAGCAGGUUAUUAAAAGUGUUUGGAUAAUUUAAUUGAUAAGUCAACUGAGUAGUUUUUUUUGAGUAAAAGUCAACUGAGUAGUUAGUAAUUUAAAUUUAUAAAUUCAUAAUAAAUAAAAUAAUGGAUAUAAAAUAAAUUCUAUUAAUAAAUAAAUUUUAUUAUACAUUAAAAAUUUAAAAUUUUCAUAAUGUAAUAAAUAUAAAUCAUUUAAAAAACGAAAAAAAUAAUAUUUAUCACUUACAGCUUUUAGUUUCAAAAACGUAAAAGAAGCACCUCUCUACUUUUUUUUUUCCCAAAAAUGUCCAGAAAAUAAAAAUAAUUUAAAAUACUAAAAAGAAGCUUAUCGAAGUGUAUCACUUUCCUAAUAAAAAUACUUUCCUAUUGGCUAAAGCGGCAAACCCUAAUUGAAAAAUAAGCUGCAUUACACAAGCAGCAGGCAAGAAGUCUGCAGACACUCUCAAGACCUCAAUCAGGUAUGUAUGUAUGUAACAACGUAUCUAUUGUAUUUGUUUCCCCCAUCAAUGGAUAUUCAACAGUCCUGUAAUUUGUGAAAUACUAAAUUCAAAUUAUUUGAUUUUGCUAAUACAAAAUAGUUCGGUUUCUAUGUAUGAAUCCUUAAUUAAGAAAUAUUGUAUGUUUUUCAGCAUCUACUAAUUGUCAAGCUAGUAAUGAAUAAUGACAUUAAUGUAGCGAUGAAAUAUUUGUAAAAUUGUAACUAGUAAUGAGUAAAAUUGGAGCUAGUAGUGAGUAAUCACAGUAAUAUAGAGAUGAGAUAUUCGUAAAAUUGUAACUAGUAAUGAGUAAAAUUGUAGCUAGUAGGGAGUAGUGGCGGUGCCACACUGGGGCCUGGGGGGACACGUGCCCCCACAGGUUUCCCUUUGUGGGCCCCACAUAUUAGUAAUACUCGUAUGUUUUGUCAUUUGUGUCCCGGAUAAAUUAUUAAAUCUCUUCAUGAAAUCAUCUCAACUUCAGUCUAUUUCAGUUCUAGCAGUAGUUUGAGCAUGGUCAUGCUUCUCUAGGAUUUGUAUGUUUAAAUCAGUUGUGGUAGUAGGUUGGUUUUUAAAUAAGAUUUGAAGGCUAGGAUGUUUAGCCAGGUCUGUUUGUUCCAGUUUGUAGUAGUUGCUGUUCGGAUUUGUAAAACUAAUUAAGUAACAUAUUUUGAGAAUAAUCGAAAAAUUAAAAGUGCCCCCCUUGAAUAUUUUGUCUGGCUCCGCCACUGGUAGGGAGUAAUGACAGUAAUAUAGAGAUGAAACAUUCGUAGAAUUGUAAACUAGUUAUGAGUAAAAUUGUAGCUAGUAGUGACUAGUGAGUAAUUACAGUAAUAUAGAGAUGAAAUAUUCAUAAAAUUGUAAACUAGUUAUGACUUAUGAGUAAAAUUGUAGCUAGUAGGGAGUAAUGACAGUAAUAAAGGGAUGAAAAUCCGUAAAAUUGUAGUAGUGGGAAGGGAGGUAAUGUUGAGUUGAUCUGAUAGGUACACAUGCUUAUAAACAUAGAUAUAUUCUCUGUGUGUAAAGCUCACUUGAAGGCAUUUUAUCUUGUAAGGGAUAUCAAUAGGGAGAGUUUUUAGUAUCUGUAUAAGCAUGCUACAUAAGCUGCAUUAUAUUUGUGAUAUUAAAUCACAAGUAUUGUUACGUGUACAUGGAGCUUUGAGUCAUUUUAAUUUUUUUGGCGAUGAUGCAGUUUGGUCGUAUGAUCAGAUCAAUUUUGUUAGCAGGGAAAAUUAUAUGGAGAUCAUGACCGAUAUAAACGAAGACUCCCUAAUUCUGGUGAAGCAAGGAGCUGAAGCUGUAAGUUAGACUCGAACUAUUGACUUUCUCUGUUUUGUUUUAGUUGCUACCUAUGUGGAAGUAUGUCUCUUUUCUCUUGUAUAAGCCUUAUUAAUUAGGCACUAGGAAGCACGAGUGCGGGUGCGGGAGUGCGGGUGCGCGGUACGGGGAUACGGGAAUUCGUCAAAUUCCAAAAUAUGGGGAUACGGAUACGGGGGGAUACGGCAAAUAUUAAAAUAAUAAAAAUAUUAUUUAUAUAUAUAUAAAUAAUACAUAAGAUGCAUUUAAGUAGAACAAAAUAGUGGAAUAACUAAAUUAAUCAUCCUUAAGUCUUGAUAACUAAAACACAUAAAUAACUAGUGCAAUUUAAGUGAUUCAAUCGAGCAUAAUCAUGGCUUCCAUCUCCGGCUCGUCAAGAGAAAGACUAGCAAUCUCGAGCUCUUCGGCACCAUCAAGUGGAUCAAAACGAUCACCUCCUAUAUCCCACAACUUGGUCUCUCCCUUAAUGUAUUGAUCACUCUUUCUAGAAAGGAGCCGGAGAUUGGUGUGGACAUGAACUUGUAGUUGUAGCCGAGUUUGACAUGAACUCCAUUACUGAAUAAGAUUACAAGCAAUUAAUAUUAAUACAACCAACCGAAUCAAAUCAAGCCGUAUAACAGUUCCUAAAUUAUUGCAAUUUACCAUUUAUAACCAACCAAAUCAAAUCUUCCAUAUAUAACAAACCAAAUCUUUUAAAAUUCAAAAAUCAAAACGUAUCAGAGAUAUAUACUAAUACCAGUAUACCACAUAACCCCAAAUCACCAAUUAAUCAAUCAUACCAUACCAGAGAUAUAAAUAUACACACACACGAGCAAUUAUAUAUACAUACACACGAGUAGAUAUACAAAAACACACUUACCAAACGAAAUAGUUGAGCUGGAGAUCUUGAUUUGAUUGAAGAUUGAUGAUUGAAGUUGAGCUGGAGUCGAUUUGAUUGAAGAUCGAUGAUUGAAGUAUCGCUGGAGUCGCCGCCUCUGUUCUCUCUCGUACAAAAACCUAAUUUUGACCCAGACCCGUCUUUUCUUUUCAUUUGACCAGGUUAUUUUAAGUUUUUAUUUUUAAAAAAAAGUUGUUCAAAAUUACAAUUCGUGCCAUUCCCGCACCCCCAUUCCCGCACCCCCGCGUAUCCCCCUCGCUGCCUCCACCGAUACGCCACGUGGCGUAUCCCGCCGCACUCCGCCGCACCCCCGCACCCCCGCGUGUCCCAUUCGCAGUUCUUCUCCUCUUUGGAGUAUCCCUGCUUUCUAGAUUAGGCAUUAUCUAGUAUUAAAAAAACGACAAAUAGUGUACUUCCAACUACAAAGCCAUACAUGAUCAUUUGACUUAUAAAUUUUAACAUAAAGUUCUCUUAUUACUUCCCAGAGAGUUUUUGAGUCGCAAUUUGUUGGGCGGAGAUCCAUUGUGAAAGAACGGUUUUCAAAGAAGUAUAGGCAUCCAACUCUUGAUUCCAAGCUGACACAGAAACGAUUGAAUGCGGUUAGUUAAAUAAAUCAGUUUUACACUAGCAAUCUUUUCUGAUGUAACUAAUAGUUUAGUUGCUUUCUAUGCUUUAAUUGAUCAGGAGGCUAGGUGCAUAGCAAAAGCUAGGCGACUUGGAGUUCCUACUCCUGUUCUUUAUGCAGUGGACCCUGUUUUGAAAACCUUGACAUUUGAAUAUGUGGAGGGUCCCUCUGUUAAAGAUGUCUUUCUCGAAUUUGGGAUACAUGGCGUCAUUGAAGAGAAAAUGGAUGAUAUAGCAAUGCAGAUUGGUCAUGCCAUUGGAAAGCUUCAUGAUGGUGGCCUUGCUCAUGGUGAUUUGACCACAUCAAACAUGUUAAUCCGUAGUAGUACCAAUCAACUGGUGGGUCCUUUAUGUGCAAUUGCAUUCUGUCAAAUUCUUUUAGUUAUCUGUAUUUUCAUGUCAUUUUUCGUUCUUAAGAAUGGGGUAGAGUGGGAAUAGGAUGACUUCGGUUAAAGGGCAGGUGUUUGUUUAGGUUGGCUUAUCCCCUUGAUUGUUUGCUGCUGAUUUUCUUGUCUGUUCUAGAGGCGAGUUUCUUAUAUAUUAAAGCUAGUUUGUAGUCUUUAUUCAGGUUCUUAUUGACUUUGGUCUGAGCUUUACGUCAGCACUUCCUGAAGAUAGAGCCGUAGAUCUGUAUGUACUUGAGCGAGCAUUGCUAUCAAUGCAUUCUUCAUGUGGAAAUGUGGUAAGCCUGCUCUCAACUUUGCUGAAUUCAAUGAAGAAAAGGAGUUCAAAAAACAGCAAGUUGACUGAUGUUUUGUUAUCUAAACUUCAAGUGAAUCCAUCUUUAUACUUCAAUGUGACCGGUUAGAGUUUAAAUUGGAAGUUCUCUUUUAUAAUUUUAAAUUGAAGCAUGGAUCUGUUGAGUAUAAAAUAGGUAAAACAAUAGUGUUCAUCAUAAAGCCUAAAUUGUUAAGAUUAUGAUAUGCUGAAAUUGGUAUUCAUCUGAAUGCACACUUUUGUGAAGAAAUAUUGCCUCUUUUUUACAGCAGUUGUGCAAUGACAUUUAAACAGGAGAAUAUGUUAAUGAUCUUAUUGUGGUCUUUACAUUUGAUUAGAUGGAGAAAAUACUCGCUGCGUAUAGGAAAUCAUCAAGGCAAUGGUGCUCAACAUUAAAUAAGCUUGGUGAAGGUAUUGUCUUCAGACCUUAAGGUUAUUUUCAAGUUUGAUUAUAUAUCAUGUAUUGUUUAAAUCCACAUUGUAUAACCGAAUUCUUGUUUUCAGUGAGACAAAGGGGUAGGAAGAGAACGAUGAUUGGUUAAGGGAUUGCUUUGUUAAUCACCUCGGCAUUAUGUACUGGCUACUGCAAGCUGACAGAAUGUUAUUCUUAUUUACAGUUAAAUUUCUUGUAGCUCUCUUUAUGUAUACUUAUCUAUUGACCUCGAUUCUCCAUUUUUUUUAAACGCGGGGACUUGGUAGCAUCCUUCUUGGAAUCAACUAUGCAUUUGUAUACUCAAACUUUCUUCAUAAGUGGAUGUAUGUUAGAAAUGUUCCUUUGUGUUCUGAAAUCUGAAUCAUCAUUGUAGAACCUUGUUGCAGUUGGUUUAUUCUAGGGAUGGCAAUCGGGUCGGAUCGGGUCGGGUUUCAUGAAAUCCAUAUCCAAUCCGUUAUAUUUCGGAUCGGAUUCGGGUUUCAACCGGAUAUCUUAAAAAAAAAUUAAAAAUUAUAAACCUGUCUGAACUAUGAUAAUUAAGUAUUUUUUUUCAAAAUUAAGAUUAUUGGAUUGGAUUCUAUUGGUUUAAAUUAGAAUAAUAUAAACUUAAACCAUAUUAAUUUUCAUUAUUACCAAUAUACAAUAUAUUUUAUACAAUAUAUUAUUAAUGAAGUAUUUGUCUUAAAUAGAAACCCUUAUUCCUUUAACCUAGUCUAUUGAUAUUGAGAGUAUUAUAUUACAUUCAUCCAAAUAAUUAAAAAUAAAUAUGUUAUAUAUACAGACACAGAGAGGUCAUAUCCAUAUCCAAAUCCAAAAAAUUUCGGGUACAAAAAUCAAAUCCAUAUCCAAAUCCAAAUCCAAAAAUUCGGGUUCGGUAUAUCCAAAAAUUCGGGUUUCGGAUCGGGUAUCCGUCGGAUCGGAUUAUUUUGCCAUCCCUAGUUUAUUCAGUAUAAAAUAAGUACUUUAAUUUUAAUAUUUGGGAAUUUUAGUUGUUUUUUUUUUUGCUUCUAAUCUUGUAUAUGCAACGAAACUACAGAACGUGAUGCAAAAUGUUUGAACGAAUAUUAUUCUCAGGAGCCUCGGUUCAUCCAGAUACAUGAAGCAAACUGUUGAAUAUUAUCAAUUGAAAUAAACAAAGCAGCUCUAUGUUUCUGCAAAAAAGAUGUUUUAUGACUUGUUUCAUCAUUGAGAUUGUGCCAAAUCAUUACCCUAUACGUGAAUGUUCCGACUUUUUUUAUGCCGGAUAUUCUUGAUCCUAAAUUUUUGUUUGUUUUAGAAUUUCUCUUAUCCGAAAACUUUUCCCCCCGUCGGUCGGAUAUAUAUUAUAAACAUUCUAUAGAAUUUUUGUUUUUACAAAAUAAAAUUUCAAUAGGUCAUUCUUAUAUCAUUCUCGAGAUUUAACUCUCUCGAUUAUGUUAUAAAUCGGAUUUUCAGAUUCAUAUAUGUUCAUUGUGUUAUAAUCUGAAUCAAAUUCACGUGUUAUGAAUCGAAUUGAAUUCGUGUUGUGUUAGUGUCGAUUAUUAUUCCUCAUAAUUAUCUUCUUCCGCUCAAUAACUCUCUGAAUUUUUGAAUAAUUCUCACAACCCCCAGUAAUCUCCCGCCAAAUUGUUUGCCUCUGAUCAUCCCCAUGGAAACCACCCUGAUCAACACCCAUGUGAAGCUCCUAGCCUCCGACUUCAACGCCCUCACUCCCCUCCCAUCCGACCCCUCCCUCUUCUCUCGCUCCGCCACUCCCUCCCCUCUCUCGCGGGCCGAAACAGUGGGCACAAUCACCUCCCGGGACCUCAAGCCCGGCAAAUUUCUCCGCUUCACUAUUGACGACGGCACUGGCUGCAUUCCCUGCAUUCUCUGGCUCAAUCACUCCAAUUCCCCCUAUUUUACGCGUCGUAGCCCCACAGAUGUUCGACAGAUUGCUCAGCUGGCCGCUUCUUUGGCUUCUCUAGUCCAGGUUGGAGUUGUUGCCCGUGUCCGUGGAAGGAUUAGUGGUUAUCGAGGGGUUGUUCAGAUCACGGUUGCUGAUGUUGGUGUCGAGAGGGAUCCUAAUGCGGAGAUUUUGCAUUGGUUGCAGUGUGUUAAGUUAGCGUGGAAAUGCUACAAUGUUUCGCCUUGUUCUAGGUAAAUUGCGUAUUGUUUUUUAUGAAUCAAGUAAAGAUUGAUAUUUGCAUAUGAACGAGAAAUUGGAAUAGUUUAUUGUAUUGCAGCCGGUGAUUUGUAGUACUGUGACAUACGAUCAGUAAAUUAAUGGAAUUGGUAUUGGAUAAUAUUUAGAUUGUGAAUUGUCUAAUAAUUGGCGACAAUUUAUGGCACUUAAAUUUGGAUGUGUAUUACUAAGGCUUGAGUUGACCAUUGUAGCAUUGUUGAUUAUUUAAGAUGGUGUGGUGGGGCUGUAUCGAGGGAUUGCACACACAAAAGAGAACACGAGAAAAAUGCACAAUUUGAGAAAGUUAUGGCAUAGCUGCCAUGAAUGAUUGAAUAUGAUGAGCUACCUAAUUGGUUAUGUUAAUGUCAAAGUAUAGUUUGUUAGAUACUGAUAAUUUUUCUGAGUGGUUAAGUUAAGACUUGGUCACAAACAAGACUAGUAUAGAUACUUGUAAUCUUUCUUCUUUUCCAGUGAAAGAAUGACAAACAAUUCUCAUUGGAUUUAAUAGUUAAUCUUGUGAACUCAACAGUAGCUGUUUUAAAUACUUUUAUUGCUCUAAGUAGAUGAUCCAGAGAACAUUGAGAUAAACAAGGACCUAAUAUGUUGAAUAUGGUAUGCACCUUGAAAAAAGAAUAGGCAAUUUUUUUAUAAUUUACAUAUUUAACUGAACAAGUCGGAAAGAGAGGUAAUACCAGUAUAUAAUGGAAUUGAAGCUGUUGUGAAACGACAGAGCUGUGUAGGUUGUGGGAACAAGGAGGCAAGGAGCUGCUCUUUAUGUCUUUGCUAAAGACCAUGGUAGCCUGAGAAAAUAGGUGAGUUAUUUCGACAGAAGGGGGCAACAUUACUUUAAUGUGUAGCCUGAGAAAAACAGUUUCUGCAUUUUAAGUAAUAUUGGUCGAGUUUUAACCAUAAUAGGAAUAUUGAUUUAUCAUACAAGUUUGUGUUGGCCAUGUAUCCUUGUGUUCUGUAUCUUUCAGGACUGUGUAAAAUCCAUACUGUAGCCACUAGCCAGUUCUAAUUCAUAGAAUAUCGACAACCGACAAUGGGAUAUGUGGUAAAGGUCUGUCCAGAAACACAAACAGUUUAUCUAACGAACCCUGGAAAAUGUUGUGGAACUGAAUGUUCCUAGUACUGGACAUCAGGUAAGUCAUGUAGCUAAAUCUAUAUUAUUAGCACUGAACAUUAAAAUUGAUAAGUUUGAUCCAUAGUUAUUAUAAAGCCAUGGCCUAGGUCGAGCUUAAAUCUCUUGUAGUGGUAAAGUUGUGUUUCUAGUUAAAUAUUGUGAGGUAGUUAGAAUAUUGUUGCUGCAUUGGGCUUAUAUUAAUGGAUCAUUGAUGUAUAUAUGUCUACCUUUUUCACUAGCUCAUGAGUGGUUGGACACUAUUCUGGUUCAUUCGAAAUCAACUGAAUUUGCAGCACCGGAUGCUGACAAAUGAGGCACAUAAUCUGGCUGCAUAUUGCCUCGAGUUAAUCAAUACAAUAACAUUUACCGUGUACAUUCUACCAUUCUGGUAUCCGUAAAAAUUCUCAGUUUGUUUUUGCAAUUAUAAGUAUCAUGGAAUCAUGGAGCAUUAUUCUUGUGUGCUUCAUUUGUUACCCUUAGUUUGGAUGUGGUGCCUUCUUUGCUAUGAAUCAUACAGGUGAUGAUGCAAUCACUUCCACACAAGAACCUGACCAUAAUCAAUAAGCACACAUAUGAGUUACAUGUGCUGCCUAGUACUGACUAGAGUAGUAUUUUACUAAUGUACUUGUCUGUGUUUACUGAGAUCUGCAUGACAUGUAUCUUGGACAUAUUUACCUCUAAAGCUUAUGGCAAGAACUUUUUUCCUUUCUAGAAACAAAAGGAAUACUAUAUUAUACAAGUCCGUGGGUGGACUUUUUAUUACUGGUGGGUAAACAACAUAGUUCAAUUGUUUCACUAGUUUGCCCUUCAGACUCUCUGCUGUACCAGGUACAUAGUUAGCCUAUCCCACUAUUACUAUUUCCUUCCUAUAUUUCUAGUAUAUCUUUUCUUUUUCCUGUAUUGACACCAUUGUACUAAAAGUCGGUGAUUAAUCACGAUUAAUAUCUGUCUCGUAGAUCGCCGAACUGAUUAAAUCUUGUCCUGUGUCUUCGCCAAUUAAGUCUGAUUACCGUUUUUUACAACACUAAUCGAUAGAAAUCUUCUAGAAUACUAAAAAUAGGGCGCCUACAGAGACAAACUAUUUACUUCCGGUAAGGUCUCCUUACAUUUCAUCUCGAUUAUUACUGCAAGUGGGUGAUCUGGAUUGGAAGAUACUUGUGGUAGAUCGGAGAAAAAACUAAAUAGUGACAGAAGAGUAGCAAAAUAAAUGAGAAGGGGAGAGUUAUUAAUGAGAUGAUGGGGAAACGUGCAUGGGAAGUGAUAUGAGGAGCAGAGACUGAGUUACAGAAAAAUGUAAGAGGGCAAGAAAGAAAGACAUUGAUAUGAUCUUUGCCACUGUCAACCAUCUUAAAUUGCAAUGAACCUCAGAAAUUAAAUAUAGGGUUUUAUGGUAAAUUUUGCAACCCCCGUGAAAAAGCUUCCCAUCAAUGUAAUCAAGGUCUAUUCAUCUAUUUAUUCAUUGCUUGCUUCUUACUUGUAUCUCUGUUUCCUUUUACCAAGUAAAAUUAUUUGUAUUUAAUUUAUAUAUACACCAAAAUAGAUAGCAGAUUAAUAAUGGCCCAAAAAGAGAGAUAAAUCUCUAUCAAGUGCUGGAUAUUUUUAAAAUAAUUAAAUUUAAUUUUGGUCCAUACUCAAUAUUCAUGAUUCUAGGUGUCAGACACAUUCAUAAACCAUGUCUGUAUGCUGGAGACAUGUAAUGGUCAAAAUCUGGGGGUUUGGUUGUGUUUUAAAUUUGUGAUGAGAAAUAAAGGUUGAUUUAAAGACAAUAAAGCCCAGAAAAUGCCCCUAAAAAUGGGUGUGAAAUCUAUGACAAGGAAGUUAAAAGAAGAGAGGGCUCAGGGAGAUGGAGCACUGAAAAGCAAAAAAAAGAAACCCUAUUACCUCCAUCAGAAGGUACUUAUAACUCAAAGUACAAGUCAAUCUCUCCUUUGACUGCCUUGUGCCUCACUAUUGCGCUCAUCGCUAAUCCAAACAUCAACAGAUGAGUUUGAGAUUCUGAUUCUCGUUAAUCGGGCUCUUUAAUCAUGAAUGAAACGCCCCGAGUGUUUCGGGAAUCUCAUUUUUAAUCUAUAUGAUCAUGUGAAGGAGGUGCUUUGCAUGAAAGUGUAAUAUUUAUGUCAUUGUAAUUUGUAGUUCUCCUAGUCCUACCGAACUAUUUUGGAUAAGAUAAGUUGCAAGACCCACAUCUUUAUGUAUAAUAUUUAUUCCCUUUUCAUUUCAAUAAUUUCUUAGUCUGCAAGUUUAUCCCCUUUUUAACUCACAUUCAAAGACCAUAAAGAAUGUUAUAGCUGUAAACUUGAAGGCUUCCAAAGUUAAAUGCUCCAUUUUCAUCUUCCUCAACAACACGCCCCACGUGGACGUGAUCCGAUAUUAUUCUAACCAACCAUAUCUACAUAUUUUAAAUUAAAUUUGUGCAUCUUUUGCUCAGAUUAUACUCAUGUGGAUAACGUAGCAUUCAACCUGUGCUGUAAACUGGGAUAUCGUAAUAUAUUUCUCGGCGAAUCGAACCGACGGAAUGCUCUAUGAAGAGUGGGGUUGAAGUUUCAAUAGAGAACUAUUAUUCCGGAGUCUCAAAGAAGUGCACUUAGUGCAAAUUAUGUUUCCGAACUCGAAAUCCUAGUUUUUGGGUUGAAGUGUGGAACAGUUAAUGCCUUCGUGUCCACCGUCCAUGUUGUAUUGUAAAAAUAUUGGGAGUGAUGGAGAGUCGAACCUAAGACCUCCGUCAAACUUGAGCUCUGAUAUCAUUCUCAAUUCAUCUAAAAUUUUAAAAGUAUAUUUUUAUGAAUAUAUAAUGUUCGAGAAACAUAUUGUUGGCCGGGAUACCUGGUUCAAAACCAUGAUCUAAGAAGACGGUGAUAACAAUGUCACAUGUUGUAUCCCAGUGCUUUACAGCUUACAGUAUCCAUGUUAUAAUAAAGAACAUGAUACAAUUUACAAAUAUGAACUAAAAAUGCACGACUUGAUCUCUCGCAGAAGUAAGAUCUAACAACAAUUUUUUAAUUCCAAAAAAUAUGUUGGUAAAUGAUUCCUAAGACCAUAAAAUAUGGCAAGACUCUGGCUUGGGGGAAUGCAACACGGUCUCCCACAUGUGGCAUGUGUGCUUGAACACUAGUGAUGCCAUAAUCCAAGAACCCCUGCUUUCUUCUGGACACGCAUAAUUUUACAAGCAACCACGUUUCAUGGCUCCAAAUUUUGUGAUAUUGGUUGCGGGUCGGGUCGGGUCGAAUCCUGAUACCUGGUUGCAGUUGCAGGUUGCAAGAUCACUCCUCGGCAAGUGAGACCAAAGGAACAAAAUAUGGUAUGGUGCUUGUAAGGUACAAUGUAGUUACAUAAUAUCAUUCUACGAAAACAGUCUCUUUACUUCGAGUUAGAAAUUAAAUUUUGCGGAUAUUUUAUCAAUUUUGAGCAUGAUACAAAUACAUCAGUCUAUUUUGAUUUUUAUAGCAGAACGGUUAAGACGAAUAAGGCGUGCGAUUACAAAUUUUGUUCAUUUAUCAGCUCCCAAGUUUAAGCACUUACACCAAGGUCAUGAAUCCUUGUAUAGUGAGGACCAUUUAUGUCUCAACUCCCAUAGGCACAAGUCUAAAUUUAACAAAAAGAACCUCAAAUUACUAAAUUUGCAGACAACUAUACAAGAAAUAAAUGUUUUCAAGAAUUGCACAAAAACCCUUCCACCCAUGGACCAUUGCUUUAGCCCCCAUAGACAAAAACUUGGGUUUAGCAAAAUAAAAACCCUCAAAAGUUGCAAACAAGCAAACACAUUGUUUGAUUGCAUAGUUACAAAAGGAGGUAGGCAUCUCUCCUAGACCCAAAAUCUACAUGGAAGACUCAACCAUUACUUAUACAAUAUUAUUGUAUCUAUGUUUUGAAACCCCCCUAAAGGUUUGGGGUAAUGAAGUAGGAACAUAAUAGGUUAAAAAUACACACCCCUUUUGGCUUUUUUUAUUACCUUGUCAUAAAAUUUUACAUGGCAGAGAUAAACAAGUUUAUGUUGGUUUCUUGGCACCAAGAAUGUACAACAACAAAAGACAGUGUUGUAACUUAGUUGUUGUUUUUGUUUGUGGAUUUGUAUAAGUUUUGAUCUUGGAUAUUAGAAGAAAACUGGAAUAUACAAAAGGUUAGUGCAAUUACAGGGUUCAUUUUAAUUUUUUUUGGCUUUAUUUGUUGAUUUACCCAUCUUAUUCUGAUGUAUGUGGUCAAUGGUCUGUGUGUGUGAGAGAGAGGGGGAGGGAGAGAGAUAGAGAGAUGGGAAACAUGGGAGAGAGGGGAGAGAGAGAGAGAUUGUAAUUCUUGGUUUUUGGGUACAAAACUUUGAGCUGAGGGGAAGAGAAAUACUAUAAAACUGUAAAAGAUGGGAAGAAGUUGCAUUACCACUUUAUUCCCCCUCUAAAAUAUUUUGAUCAUUUGCUGUUCUCUCCACAUACCAUUAUUUUCUACUACAAAGGAAAAAAAACACAGACACACACAUGACACCCCCCCUCUCUCCCUAUCUAUAAGCUAUACACACACAUACAUGUAAGUACACAUGUGCACACACCUUUAUGUCUACUACAUUGUCCUCUUCUACAACCAGAAUCUCAUAGUAUUACUUUCACGCAUCACUGUUGUACCCUCUCUGCUUCUUCACCCCCUUGAGCUUCUUUGUUUUCUUUCUCAUUUUCUUCUUUCCUUGAGGACCCUUUCAUAUAUCUUAUACUAUAUAACAGAGAACUUGAGCUCAUAAUCUUUGUAGUUUUCUGGUUUGACUUGUGUUUGGAAACUUUAAGAAUGCUCAGAAACUUGGAUUUUCAUCUCUUCUUCAACUGUUUCAUCUACAUUACCUCAUAAAAAUCAUUUCUUUUCAUCUUCUCUUGGCUAACCAUAUAUAAAGAUUCAAACUUUCCUUGUUCUUGGCUUGUUUAAUUGAUGUAGCUCAAGGUUUUCUCCAUUGGCUUCACUUAAACAACAAUUUGAGGGAAGCCCAGAAGUUUACUACUUGCAGCUAGCUCUUUGUUUGUGCAAUUAGUAUUGUGUAUGUAUAUGCAAGAAGUUUUGAAACAAUGAGAGAUGGGAACUGCAAGAAAAGCAAGGUUUUUUUGUUGCUAAAAUGUCAAACUUUCCUCACCAUUCAAUCAUUCAUUAAGUAAAUCUAAGUACUUGCAUUUUCUGUUUUUUUACUGCAGCUUUCAUGGCCUAAGACAUUGGUCAAGAAGUGGCUCAAUAUCAAGACCAAAACUGAGGACUUCCAUGCUGACAGUGAAGAUUUUGUUUAUGAAGGUGCUGCUCUCUUGAUCCUAUGCCUUUUAGUACUAGUUCAAUUUUAGGGGGAUUGUCUGGUGAGAUCUUGUUUUCUAGCUGGUAACUUUUGUGGAAAAACAUUUGGAUUAUAAUGGGUUGUUCUGGCAUUUGGAUUUGCAGAUUAAGAUCUAUUCUUUUGUUUUCUUCUUCUGUUUAAUAUGCAAAGAUCUUGUUUUAUUCUUCUGGGUAUUCUUUAAGAAUAACAAAAAAACUAUUUGAAUAUGUGGGGUUGAUUCAAUACCAGUUCUAUGAUACAGCUUUAGCAACUUUAUGUUUUCUCUUUUUCAGGUGGUGAUCAAGAAUGGAGAAACAAUUUCUCAGAGAAGGAGGCAUGCACCAUCAAGAAAAGCAAAGCAGGUUCACUGUCAGGAUGAUACUAUUAUUUCUUUGGACCACAAACCCCACUAGAUUUAUAAUUAAGUCGAUAGGAAAAAAUAAAUUAUGUUUUCUGUAUGUCUUUUAUUGCCCCCCACCCCCAUCUGUUAGUGAUUAAAUUUAAUCCCUGUUUUGUUUUGCACUUGACAGAUAGAUCAAGCAAGAAAAAUUCUGACAGGUUUCGACGCGGUAAAAUUGACCCUGAUGCUGCCCAAGUUACUGAUGUGAACAACUAUAGGUAUGUUAUGUUCUUGUGAUGAAUGUUGAUUGUUUGGUCUGUAUCUUCGUAAUUAGUGGUUUUAAGUAUAUUCUCUUCGAAUUUGGAUCCAGGAUAUUUGUAGCUACAUGGAAUGUGGCCGGAAAAUCCCCACCAAGUCAUUUGAAUCUGGAAGAUUGGCUACACACCUCUCCUCCUGCUGACAUCUAUGUUCUUGGGUGGGUUUUCGGUUUUCUUGAUUUUGAUUGUGACACUGCAUCUUUAGUUUAUUACCUUGUGCAGUUGUUGAGUAUCUGAUGACAUCUUUGAUCCAUUUCACAAUUAGGUUUCAAGAAAUAGUUCCUCUGAAUGCCGGAAAUGUCUUGGGCACUGAAGACAAUGGCCCUGCAAAAAAAUGGUUAGCCCUCAUCCGAAAUACUUUGAAUAGUCUUCCAGGCACAAAUGAUGGUUGUCGUACACCUUCACCCACCCCGGAUCCACUUGUGGAACUAGAUGCAGACUUUGAGAGAUCAACACAAAUAUCAUCAUCUUUCUUUAGCCGCCGUUCUUUUCAAUCAUUGAGCCGUAGCAUGAGGAUGAUGGGCAAUGAUGUGUCAAUGUCCCAACCUCGACUAGACCGUCGUUUUAGUGUAUGUGAUCGAGAUAUGUUUGGGGUGAAAUCAAGUAACUAUGAAACAAGUGUGGGGUGGAAUUGUUCCUCUGAAGAGGAAAGCGGUGAUUCCCCCUGCAGCAUUCACUAUUCUCCAAUGUCAUACAGUGGGUCUGUUUCAAUGGAUGAUGGAGAUAGACAACCAGGGAAUUCAAGGUACUGUUUGGUUUCCAGCAAACAGAUGGUUGGAAUUUUCCUCACAGUAUGGGUGAAAAGUGAUCUUAGGGAUUAUGUCCGGAACAUGAAAGUUUCCUGUGUAGGUAGAGGACUUAUGGGUUAUCUUGGAAACAAGGUAAAUUUUAUUUUCUUUAACAUGGAUCUCGAAGACAAAGUUGUACAGUAUUUGAUUACUUAAGUUGGCAAGUUUGUUCUUUUCUCAUUUACAGGGUUCAAUUUCAAUUAGCAUGUCUUUACACCGAACAAGCUUCUGCUUCAUCUGUAGUCAUUUAACCUCAGGACAGAAGGAAGGAGAUGAGCUCAGGAGAAACUCUGACGUCCUGGAAAUUUUGAAAAAGACUAGGUUUCCUCGAGUUAAUGGCUUAGGGGAUGAGAAUUCUCCUCGGACAAUCCUUGAGCACGAGUAAGGCCCUCAAUUUUCAGCUUGAAUAUUAUAUAAUCCAAUGGAUAGCAGAAGAUAUCUUUUUCUUACUUAUUACACUGAUAGCAAAUCUUUAUUACACUAUUAAUAGGUUGUGUUUGCAUUUGUGUAGUCGGAUCAUAUGGCUUGGAGAUUUGAAUUAUCGGAUUGCUCUGUCUUAUCGUACUGCAAAGGCCCUUGUAGAGAUGCGCAAUUGGAGGGCUUUGCUAGAAAAUGACCAGGUAAAUCAGGCAAAUCAGCAAGUGUCAUUUAUGAAAUAUAUCCAAUUUAUUACAUUGUUAAUUUGAAUAUCAUGUGCCAUUCAACUUAUUCAUUAUCUGAACAUUUUGAAAUAUGUAGCUUCGAGUAGAGCAGAAGAGAGGGCGUGUCUUUGAAGGCUGGGAUGAGGGGAGAAUAUACUUUCCCCCGACGUACAAAUAUUCAAAUAACUCAGACAGAUAUGCAGGAGAUGAUAUGCACCCAAAAGAGAAGCGAAGAACUCCAGCAUGGUAAUUAUUGUUUUGCGACAAAAUUCUAAAUAUAUUGUUAACAUAUCUACAGAGCACCUUAGAUGGAAAUCUUGAAGUUAAUAUAAUUACAGCAAACCUAAUCAGAAUAUGUUUAUGAAGGUGUGAUCGCAUAUUGUGGUAUGGAAGAGGUCUGCAUCAAAUGUCUUAUGUUCGUGGCGAGUCUCGUUUCUCAGAUCAUAGACCAGUUUACAGCAUAUUUCUGGCUGAGGUUGAGUCUAUAAACCAUAGUAGAUUCAAAAGAAGAAUGAGUUGUUCCAGCUCCAGGAUUGAGGUGGAAGAGUUAUUGCCAUACUCAUAUGGAUACGGGGAACUAAAUUUCUUCCGAGAUAUGGAACAAUACUGAGUGCAAGAGCAUGCAAAAUCUUUUGGACUCGUUUCAGCAGAGAUGCAACAAUAUAUCCCUUCAGGUAAUACUUUUACAAAAGCAAGCAACAAAAAUUAAUUACUUGUUUUAAUUGCAUUGUCUAGCGAUUUGUACUGAUUUAUACUGAAAUUUAAGCAAGGUUUCAUGUAAUUUUACAAUUGGCAUGCGAACUUAAUAUAAACUUUUGCCUAUAUGAAAUGAUGUUAAUAUAUACUGUACUUUGUGCCAAUCAAAAGAAUGGAUGGAGCAAUAGACUUAAAUAGAAGAUUGAUCCUUUUGCUUACUUUCCGCAUUUCUACUUCCAGAAUUUAACCUUAUUAUGAGCAUAUCCUGGAGUUGGCUUCGCAUAUACCAAAUCCUUAAAGUUCUUCUACCAGAAGUCUUCUGCAGCAUAUCAAGACCCAUCGAAGCAUGCAUUAGGCAUGGCGGUAAUUCUAGUCGAUUAGGUAAACAAAGUAACGCAAUGUUAAUUGUUCAUUACUUCUUCACUCUUUAGCCUCUCAAUAUACUUGCAGGAUUAACUUUGCCUUUCCCUGGUCUUCUUGCAGGAUGAAUAAUAAUUUGACAACACUACUGAACAAAGUAUACUGAGAUAAUGGAGGAAUAGAGAUCUAACUUUAUACUUAGAGAUGAUUACAAGAAUGUUUUUUCCUCUCCUUUUUCUUGUAAUGCAAAAAUUAGUGGAAUAAUACAAAAUGCAGUUCAAGUACAGUUUAUGUUUAUGAGCAUGAAGCUUCAUUUGCUGUUGAUGUUGCAAUAGCUAGCUUUAGAGUGGAAUCUUACUGCAGAGAAAAAGCAUUUCUGUUGUUUUUCAUUUCUCUUUGGCCAUCUGAAAAAUCAAAACUCUGAUUAAAACAGAUAUCAGCAUGCACUUACUUUGAUGUGCCAGGUUCUUACUGCAAUGUCACUAUACAUCAAAUAUGGCAAGAUAGGCUCCAGUUUCACCAUUAUCAGCUCUCAUAUAGCAUGAAGAAUGCUACAGAGUCCAGACAUUGCUCUAAUCAUUAUGCAUUGCUAAAUGGCACAUGAAAUUCAAACAAUCAAGGGAUCUUUCUGAGUACCAUCUUUUUCGAGAUUAUAAGAAACUAAAAUGAAUACGCCAAUAAAAUCAAACAUAUCCGAUAUAUCUAAAACAUAAUUAAAAAUUCAAGUUAAAUUUUCUUCUGUAUCGUAUUAAGUUAUCAAACAUAUUCAGUAUAUCUCACGCGAGAUAUUCAAAACCUAACUAGGUACAUACUUAGUAUAUCUCCUGCCUGGGCAUGCAUGGCAUUUUGAUUUCAAGGUGACUCUGAAAUGUAUGCAAACUGAAAAGAAAGAAAAGGACAUGUCAUAGUCUUACUUUUCCAAGAAAACCAUCUACUAAUUGAAUUCAAUAAGAAAAUGACACAUCAGUUCUAGCUGAACCCCAAGGCCAAAGUGACCCACAGGCCUCAGUGUUCAGGGUCAUCCUGCUCUAGUUUAGCACCAGCUGAAAUUAUUAGAGCAGCAAGAGUAAAUAAACAAAAAACAAAGUACACACUGUGUAUAAAUAAGUAGAUAAAAUGGAGUAUAAAAUAGCAAAACUUGAAAAGAAAGUGUGGCAGAGAAACAUGCAAUAGUCUAGAGGGGCUAGAAACAGAAACAUUACCUAGUUAGUUGCUGUACAAUUCCUUGAGAUUAUAUAUAUUAUAGGGGCUAAAAUCUAAAUGUUUUUUAAGAAUCAUACUGUAAAAAGGAAGAAAUAGUAGAGACAGGAGAAAUGGAAGCCAUUUCACUUCAUGUCUCCAUUUUUGGCACAUGUUUUGCUGGUUUUCUGUGUGUCAAAUUACAACUUUAGUGCUAGUACUUCGGUCAAAAGACUCUGCCAUUAGGUUCGUUUUAAAUCAAAAGCGGUUCUCGGUAAUUGGUAUACAUAAAUUAUUUUAUUGUUUUUAUUUAAAAUUAUAAUCAAUAAUAUUUGAUUGUAUAAAUAUUAAUAAUAAUGAGACUCCUUAUAUAUACAUAAACUAUCCAAUUUAUCAUGUCAAAAAAGUUUGAGAUGUAUAGUAAUAAUAUAAUACUACCCUUCUCCCUUCACAUGUUCACGACUCAAAAUUCGGUUCGAACUCGAUCAAUUAAAUAGUUAAAUCAUAUAUGUGUAUUGUGAAUCAAUUUCAAAUUCUGAAACUCAAAACGGAACCGAACUCCAACUUGUUAGAUCAGUAAAAAAUUAGAUUAAUAGUUAACUAAUAAUAUUUAUUAUUCUAGUUAAUCCUUUCAUCUUUGUAUUUUCGCUAUACCUAAAUGGCUUUUCUGAUCCAAAUUUCGUACAUUUUUCAGUUCAGCUGGUAAUAACUCGGCUAAAUAUGAAUAAGCUGAAAUGAACUCGUUUUGUAACAGAAGUACAAUCAAAUAGUUGAAUUAAACUGAAAGCCGGCAAGAAAGAGACAACAUGUUUGGAGAAUCCAAAUCAGCCAUGAAACCUUAAAGGCUGUGUGGACUCUUAAAUUACCUUUUCUUUAUUAAACAGAUGUGACAUUUGGUAAACUCCUUUUUUAAAACACUACUACUGCAGUACUAUCACUAAUAUUCUUUUAUCUGGGAAUUGAGAAUUCCUAAGUUUUUUUCUUUAUAAUUAAGUUUAAAUGAUUAAAGAAUCACAAGUGGAGAUUCUUUUCGCCACCACUUUCUACAGCGAUUUUAAUAAUCUCAACGACCAUAAAAGUCCCAACAUUACAGUUGUCAAAAUUUACAUUUGAAGUUGGGCCUGAUCUUAUUAAAAUUCUAAUCUGUGUAGGAUUUUUUAUUGGAUUGAUCCUGUAAGAGAACAAGCACAUAAAAUUCUUAAAGCCAGGCCGAACCUACUGAAAAGCCCAUAAGAAUAUACAAUCACAGUUAGAGCCCCAGUCCAACUGGUGUCCUAUUUGGAUGUACAAAAUUUAGAGUAAUCGACAAAAACAAAAACUCCAACAAUUUUUUAAGAAAGUCUAGAAAAUCCUUCAUCUGCCUUAUUUUCAAUGAUAAUAAUAAAAUAUACGUGUCUCUUUUAAAAUUUUAUGCAUUAUAAAAAAAUUGGUUGAGUAUAUAAUUUCUUGUCUAUCUUUGAUAAUUGCACUAAAUUAAAUUGAGUUGUAUGUAUAUGUAUAUUAGUCAGACAUUCAAAAUAGUAUUUUAAAGAUAUUUAAAAAUAUAAUUAAAUAACUGUUUUCAAAAGGAAAAAGUCAAUUAUAUUUUUUCAAAAGAGACAUGCAAACUGGAACGGAUAGAAUAAUAUUUUAAUAAUGAGUUGUGGAUAGGGAUUCUUGAAUAUACAAUCAUGAUUUACUCCUGCAGUCCCAUUCAUUUUCACACGUUUUUUUAUACGUUAUUUAGAAAAAAAAUUAAAAUAAAUUAUAGAAUUAUACUUUAGUGUGUGCCGUCCAUGCCAAUGUAUAUAACCCGAUGGGAGUAUAAGAUAAUUCCAGUGUUUGAUUAUGAGAAGCAGAAGUUGCUUCUGAACUUAUGUUUUUCUCGACCCAUUUGUGUUAAUAGGUAAAAACAUUCUAAAAGCUGAGAGUACUUUCUUUCAGAGCUGUACUUCUUUCCCAAAUACUUUAUUAAUGUUUUUGUUACUCACUACUAAUCCACUUCUUUUAAAAAAGAAGUUAUUUUUUUCAAACUUGUCCAAACCACCCCAAUCAACAAGUACUUCGCUCAAAAUCUAUUGUUAUUGUUUGUUUUUUUUGAAAUUGAUAUAAGAUAUAGACUUCAAGAUUUUAAUUGAAGUAAAAGUUCAGUUUUAUAAUUAGAAAUUAUAUUUUUUCUCAAAUCGAAAGUGAAAAAGCAAAAGCAAAAUUUAUUUAAAAUUAAGAGCUUAUCAUUUAAUCGAACAAACUUGAAGUAAUAUUGAGUAACAAACAAAUAAAUAAAUAUAAAAGAAAAACCUCAAUACCAAUUACGUAUGCAGUUGUAAUUAAAAAUGCGGGGCCCUGUGUUUGUGCAUGACUACUCACAUGAUCCAUCACUAUAAAGAAAAAGCUUCCAAAACUUCAUGCGAAAAACUUCAAACCCUGACGUAGGACAUUAGCUAUGUUAGAUUAACUACUUUUAGCAACCAUUUAUAUAUUUUGUUUUUCCAGGAAAUUUAAAGAAAUCACACUGAGUUUAUUAUCCAUUGUAACAAUAAUAAUUUCUUCUAUAUAUUUCUAGACAGCUGGUCCUUUUCUCUUUUAAAUUUUAUUAUUUUUAGGUAUAAUUGUUGCUGUCAUAAUUUUUUAUUCAACUUAUAUCAUAUAUACAUUUUUCCGCACUAUCCAAAUUAGGGGAAUUAUUAUAAGAAAAUACAUCCGGUGAUGGCAUUAUUUUUUUUUAUGUAUGAAAUUGUGAAUCAUAUAUUAUCAGUAGUGGGUUAAUAAUUAAUAAAAUGAAUAUAAAAUUAUAAAUUAUAUCUUCAUUUGUGAAUUGAAUAAAUAAAGUCGCCUACUGUCAUGUUAUAUUGAAAAAUUGUACCAGAAAAGAAAUGUAAAACACGAAAAAUAAUAUUUUCAAAAUGAAAUUCAUAUAGAAAUGACAGGGUUGAUAUAUGACGAUGAUGAUGGUAUUGAAUAAAUGAAGGUGUGAUGUAUAUGAUACGUAUCUUAAUUAGUUUGGGACUGUAAAAUAAUGAAAAUUUUAUUUUUAUUUUUUUGAAACGUGCAUCACGGGAUAUCAAUAUACUUAUAUAGAGGAGAAGCGUGGGGCGUGUAGAUGGCGCAUCUCAGAUCGCUCCGUUCUAUUUUUCUAAUUUUCUAGAAUUUUCGGAUGAAAAAUAUCAAAAAUUAGAACUAUCUUUUUUAGUUUUGGGUAUAUUAGAAGCAAGUUUCAGAAUCUGAUUUUGUUUUAGAUUAUUUAUGGAAUAUAAUAGCUUGAAAGUUUUAAUCUGAUUUUUUUUCAGAUUAUUUAAUUAUGGGAAAGACAAAUUAUUUAUGGAAUAUAGUAGCUUGAAAAUUUUAAUCUGAUUUUGUUCAGAUUAUUUAAUUAUGGAAAAGAGUAGCAAACAAAUCUCUCUGCACCUAUAAAUACCCGUAUAGAACGUAGGAUUUUGGAUCAUCUAAACACAACCUCCUCUCACAAUACCACAAGUUCUCUUACUCGAAUUUUAAAAGAGAAGCGAUAGGCGUGCAGGUGGCGCCUCUCAUAUUGCUCCGUUCUAUUUUUCGAAUUUUAAAAGAGAAGCGAUAGGCGUGCGGGUGGCGCCUCUCACAACGCUCCGUUCUAUUUUUCUAAUUUUCUAAAAUUUUUGGAUGAAAAAUAUCAAAAAUUAGAACUCUCUUUCUCUUGCUCGAUUUCUAACUCGGAGGUACAGUUCUUCUGCAACAAUAAGUGAAGGUUGUUUAUAUAAUAUUAAAAAAACAAAGGUUGUUGCAAGCAAAGGUAGUUAUAGAUCGUUAUAUUGGAGUCGACAAAUCCAAACAUGGGAAAAGAAUAUAGUCUUGACAUGAUAUUGAUGGUUGAUAUCAACAAGAUAAACUAUUAGUGAUGUAUGUUUGUUGGUUAUUCUUUUAUAAUAUUUGUUUUGUUCAUUAGACAUGUUUGUUGUUGUUAAUUUUUAUAUGAUUUACUUUGUAUACAGGAAAAAAUUAUUCGUGCAUUAUCUGUUUGCUCCGUUCAAAUAACUUUUAAGAGGGUAGUUAUAGACGACUAUCUCAAAGAUUUAAGUUAGAUGUUUUUGUGCACAAUCAAUCCAAAAAAAUUGGAGGAAGGUGACAAUGCAAGAACAUGAUUACUUUUUUAAAAAAAUAAAUAAAUUAAGAUUCGUCAUGCUUUAAAUUGUUAAUUAAUUGUAUAAAUUUAUUUUCAUUUUUUCACCUUGAAUUAUAAUCCAAUUUUGCAAUUUUAUAUAUUAGUAUUGGUAUUACAACUAGAUUUUUAUAAUAUAAAUUUAUUUCAUCCUACAAAUAUUAACUUUGAAAUAUUAAUAUACUUUUUAUAGACAACCACACAAUUAUUUUAUUCUACAAAUAUUAAUAUUAAAUCAUUAAUAAAAUUUUUAUAGGACGCCGUAACGCGCGGCUUCUCAAUUAAUUAUAAUAUAAUAAUGUUACCUAAAAUUUGGAAUCACAUUAAUUAUCAAUUUUCUUUCGAAUAGUUAUAUCUUAANNNNNNNNNNNNNNNNNNNNNNNNNNNNNNNNNNNNNNNNNNNNNNNNNNNNNNNNGAUUCAGACAUAUGAUCGGCCUUCUUGUUACCCCUAGGGGCCUUCAAGAACCAUGAUCACCUCAAGCCCCCACACGAGGGUUAACUCGGCAGAUAGCAGGAUUGAGGAUUGUAGAUCAUGCCCGGAUGAGCCCGGGAACUAUCAGAUGAGCCUGAUAACUACCAAAUGAGCUUGGUAACUACCAAAUGAGCUUGGUAACUAGUCUUCAUAUCCCUCGGAAGGGUCGUCACGGAGACUCACUCAUCCUCUUUCUUUCAUCAUGUAUUUCAUAACUAUGCCUCUUCUGAGUCAAAGGACGCGCCCUGAUAGGGAGGACGUGUCCUUCCCAAUUCCCGUCUUCAUCCCUGUUUACUGGACAAGAGACUGCACUCCCCGGGUUAUGUCCGGAGGAGGGCGCGUCCUCCCCUCUACAUGGUGUACAAAAACGGCUACAACACCUCGGAAGAGUCGUCGUAUCCCCCGGAGGGGUCGUCAUAUCCCCCGGAGGGGUAGGUCUUCCUAUCCCCGGAGGGGCGGUCUUCGUCUCCCUCGGAAGGGUUGUCUCAGCGAAUGUACGCUCUCCCAUAGGAAGAGCCUUCUCACAAUAUGUGUUUACAUGUGGGAGCGACCCCUGAGGGCGCGCCCUUGCCUUCGCCGUCUCGUCCCAUCGACCACUCCAACAACACAUCAGACAGGUCCUUCUUUAACAUGAGGUCGCGCCCCCGGGUAGGCGAGGACACCCCGUUAAAGGCACGCCCUUGGUCUUCAUCUCAUGGUCAACUUCUUACAAGGGACGCGCCCCCUCGGUCACCUCCGAAGAGGGCGCGCCCUCCUCCAUAGAUUACACGACGUGGGUGGACGGAGGUCGGUCGCGUCUCUCCAUCAACACUCUCAAGUAAGGCGUCCCUCCUUGUGACUCGGAAGACGCGUCCUCUUCACGCAACAUCAAGGGUCGGUCGCGUCCUCCCUUUAUAAGCAGGAGGACGCGUCCUCUUCAUGGGACACGUGUGACCUGGAGGACGCAUCCCUCCUUCCGAUGCGGAGGACGCGUCCUCUUCAUUAAGAUACGCAACAUCGGCGGAUCAGUCACGUCACGGAGGGCUGCGCCCUUUCGUUCAGACUAGUCUCUUCAAGGGUCGGUCGCGUCAUUCCUUUGUAACUCGGAGGACGCGUCCCGAUACCUCAUAUAGGACUCUUAGCCCAAUUCAUGUGUUACUAAGUACAUAUCCGGCCCAACAAGGACCUAGCCAAAUUUGGCUAUAACAAGUACUCCCCAAGUUUUCUUGAUAUUGGAGAUAUCAGGGAAAUUUUUACUCCAUACCACACAUCCUCUUCCGAGAGCGCGUCCGUGCAUAGAGGCGCGACGUAAGCCACUUCUAUUCCUCGAUAUUCCAAGAUGUAGGUUGUGCACAAGCCUUGCAUGUAUACAAUGUCGAUGUCUUUGCUCAUUUUGCAAAGUGGAUAAGCAUGAGGCUAGCGCAUCUUUAUGAUGUGUUCAUAAGUAAUGAGCAACCUUUGUGUAGAUAAAAGGAAACAGGGGGCGCGGCCUAUCUGUCGUUGACAGUGGCGCAUCUUCGCUUAUUCCUUCCAAAGGGCACAUUUAACCAUAACAUUCGCGCUAAUGAACUUCAACAAAAGAAGGGCGCGCCUUCGCUGUGCGAAGGUUUAUGGCUAUUUUUCAGCCUUACUGUGUCCAUGGUACCUAGGAAUAGUAUAAGGCGCGACUUACGGAAUGGCGCCACCUUGUUAUAACAUGACCCCUUUUUUUAUCUUCUUAAAGAAUUGCCUAAGUAGAGGGCGCGGCUGAUGGCACUGCCUUGCAAUAUAUCUUUUCUUUCAAGGACUAUAUAAGCAGAGGGCGCAGCCUUACUUGUAAUGUGGGCUCUUUUGAUCUUUUCCAAGGAUUAAGUAGAGGGCGCGGCCUUUGGCGCAACCUUACUUUUUCACGCGUGAAUCACUUGCUUAAGAAAAUCAAGAGGACCACUCCCCAGUCCAUACAUCUUCCCAUAUGGGGCAUCACGAAUCUUAUCGUGGUUUACAUAACUCCGGUGCAUCGCACAGGUCCCAGAGCUCAUAGCUCAAUGGGGAAUUAAUAGUAUAAAAUGUUAUCCAGAGCAUAUCAUGGAUAUGUAAGAUCCAGAGUGUAUCAUGGAUGCGCAACUACAGUAUCCAGAGCGUAUCAUGGAUAUGUAAAUAAUUAUAGCAUCCAGAGUAGAUCGUGGAUGACAUCCAGAGCGUAUCAUGGAUGCGCUAGUAUCCAGAGCGUAUCAUGGAUAAUUAGGUAACCUCUGAAAGGCCUUAAGUGUAUCAUGAUCAAAGACCUCGCAGGUAUCAUGCUACGUUCCUGUAGAACGGAGGGCGCGCCCUCAUCAAGAUGGACAGCUCCUUUAGCAUGUUGGACUUGCCCUGCGCUUUAUCAUGUAUAUGACUUAAUACUGAUGGUCAGUGUUACCUCAUGACGUGCCCUGUUAGGGGAAGGCGCGUCCUCCCAAAUUAUCAACCCUGGAAACAUGACUUUGGAACUCGGGGUGCGUCCAACUAGGAGGAGGCGCGUCUUUGAAGCAUCUCCCUUCUCAACCUUAUUAUCCUGGGGGCGCGCCCUCAUGCGCUUCCUCAAGUGAUGAGUACUUCCGAGAGGGCGCGCCCUAGGGAGGGACGUGACCUCUUCAAGACUAGUGAGCUCCUUCCUGAGUAUGUUUGUCUUCACAAAAUAUCAUAUGAAGCAAUUAAUGCAUCAGACAUACCAGAGGGCGCGCCCUGUCAGAGGGAGGCGCGCAAUUCGUUCUCUUGAUAGAAUACUGGUUGGAUAUGGCGUACCCCUUUAGGAGGGCGCGCCUUGUUGGAGGAAAGUGCGACUACUCCUCACGGAGAAGAGGUGUAUUCCUCAUAAAGGUAACACCAUAUUACCUGUGAAUUUAUACAUGUAGUAGUCUUAGGGAACCAAAUAUUGAGGGAGUUUAGUAUUUACCUGAGGGCGCGCCCGGUCAGGGGAAGGCGCGCACCCUUACGACUUUUCGAGCUAGGUUCCAUCUGAAUAGCUCGCCCCCCGUAACUUUCCCUAGAGGCGCGCCCUGGCAAGGGAAGGCGCGACUUCUUCGAAAAUGUUAAAGGGUGCAUCCCUCAUGGUGGUGGUCGAACACCACGUUACCUGUAGUUUUCAACGUGCCAUACUUCUAGAGAAUGCAGUAACGAGGAGGUUUAGAGUAGAGUUUACCUGGAGGCGCGCCCUGUUAGGGGGAGGCGCGCUCUUUGAAACUUUUCAAGCUUCGCUCCAUUUGAAUAACUCUCCGCUCGUAACUUUCCCUUUCAUAUCAUUAUCUGCGGUCAGGUCUUCAACACGUGCCUCUCGUGAACCUCAAAUUACUUGCUCUGGGGAGGGCGCGCCCCUUCAGAAAACCGUUGAGGCUUCCAGGGAGGCGAUCUCCUUCUCGUAAAGACUCAAACCACAACAGACUUGUUAGCAAUAACAUGCGAAAGCAUUGUGAGAAUCUUACCCGGAGGUGCGCCUUCUUCGGAGAUGUCAGGGAAUUCAUUCCUCACGGUGGUAGUCGAGCACCACAUCAUUUGGAGGUGUACCCUGUCCGGGGGGAGGUGUACUCUGUCCGGGGGAGGUAUACCUUGUCCGGGGGAGGUGUACUCUGUCCGGGGGAGGUGUACUCUCUUCGUAGGUGUUAGGUCUCCGAAAAUCGCAUCCUUCGCUGACUCCCCGGUCCAGAAUACCUUGUUCGCAUAUUAGGUUACCUCCUAGAAUUUCGUUGAUGAUCGUCCUCCUUCAAACUCCCGAUGGAGAUAUCGUCCUUUUCUGGAGAAGUAGAUGAAGGUCUCCUCUUCUCUUGUGUUCUAGCCAUCGCCCUCCCGGAAAAUGCUCCGCCUCUACGUGCGAAUCUCCGUCAUGUGACAUCUCUUCCUCCUAAGAUGAAGAUCUUGAAUAGCCCCUCCUUCUAGCGCCAAUUUGUUGAUAGAGGAAUUUGGUAAUCAACAAAGAUGAGGUUCAUGGCCGGAAUCAAGAUCCGUGACGGUGGUUUUGG
This 47905-nucleotide long non-coding RNA is filed under the name Daucus carota (carrot). Its description in RNAcentral is "long non-coding RNA (DCAR_LNC000567)". Lineage: Eukaryota; Viridiplantae; Streptophyta; Magnoliopsida; Apiales; Apiaceae. The record is from RNAcentral.